GGAAGAGAUAAAUUUCCCAAACAAGAAGGUAUAGGACCAGAAAACAUAUUUUGAGAAAGAUCUAUGAUGCUUAAAGAGUGCAACUUGCAUAACUGAACUGGAACUUCACCGUGAAAAUGAUUAUCUUUCAGAAGAAGAACACUCAAAGAAGAAAGUGUGUCAAUCCAUUUUGGAAUAUUACCUGUCAAAUUGUUUCCCCUAAGAUCUAAAGUCACUAGAGAAAAGCUAUUAUAAAAAGCAAGUGAUAGUGGACCUCUAAGUCUAUUUCCGUGGAGGUGGACAUGCUCUAUGUUUGGUGGAUUAAAACAUGACGGUAUAGAUCCAGAUAAAUGAUUUUGGGAAAGAUCCAAAAAGUCCAAGCUAUUCAACUUGCAAAAUUCCAUUGGAAUAAAACCCUCGAAACCAUUGUUGGACAAAACUAAUCUCUCCAAAAACGAUGCAUUCCCUAUCCAUCUUGGGAGCUUUCCAUGCAACUUGAUUAGGUAAGGGACCAAUAAGUCCACAAUCAUAUAAAGGCAGGGUUUUAAGAGAACUGAAUACUCCAAUGCAUUGUAAAAUGUUGGUGUUGAGAGUAGAAUAGUCAAGAUAUAUUUCCUCCACAUUGCUUGACACAUUUAAUUCUAAAGGAUGAGAAGAGGUAUUAGAUGUUAAUCGAACGUAAUCUGUUUUGGAAAAGAAAAUAAUGACUUUCACUUACCUUGAGUAGCCAGAGUCAUGUUCAGAUAACUGCCUUAUAGAUAAAAGGUUUUAACUGAUGAGAAAGCCUCCACUAACUUUUGUAAUGGAAUGCUUCCAUCGGUGAAAACUUGAUCAAGAUCAACAACUUUCAAAUUUCUGUAAGUGGAAGAAAUAAAUAAAUAUUUGUUUUCAUCAAUAAGAUAAAAGUUUAAUAGAGAAUGUACAAAUCUUAACAUAACUAUUCAUUCAUUUUAUUAAUUAAUAAACUAAUCCUUUUUUAGCAUUCUAAGAUAAAAUAAAAUUUCAAAAUAAUUUGAUCUUGAUUCAUAUCAGAUUUAAAUAUAUGAGCAUAUUCUUUUAAAAACUCAAAUAUGUUUGAAAUCAAUUUAGCAUUUAACCUUAAUGUUAGUUUUUGGUACUGGAAAUGAAGUUUUUUAACUCUACAAGUGAAGUUAAAAAAUGGCCAGUAACCUAUUUAUUUUUUAAUAUUUUACUAUACCAUAUAAGAUAUUUGUUAUUAUCUCAAUCCUACUUAUGAAGUUUAGAAUUUCAUUAGCCCUUAAACUAAAUUUACUUUGUACUCAAUUACAAAUGUUAAGAAAUAUUUUACAAUCUAAUAAAUAAAUUUUUUAAUUAAAUUCACCAUAUUAAAUAAAAAUUUUAAAGCACCUAAAAUUGUCAAAUACAUUCUUUUGAAUUUUAGAAUUUAUGAAUUCCGAAACAGACUUUCAGCAUCUCAAAUUCUCUAUUUAAAUUUCACCUACAUAGUUUUUCUAGAAAUUCUUCAAAACUUCAUUUAUUUAAAUCAAUGGUUCUAUUAUAAAAUAGAGAAUUUAAAACUAAAAAGAUAUUAUUUUUAUUUAAAUCUAAUAUGCAUAUUUUUCUCUUUACAAAAAAUAAAUUUUCAAAAUCCAGGUCUACUAUUAAUACUGUUGAAAUUAUUUUAUUAAAUCCAUAUUCAUUUCAUCAUCUUUUAAUUACAUUGUUAUCAAGUUCUUUUAUUUUAAAAAAAUAUCACACUUUUUAGUUGUUUACAGAAUCAUAAUGUUAAUUAGAGUGGAAUAUUUCAGAUUUCUGAUGAUGAGCAUAUUCUUGAGUAUUGCAGUAAAAAAAUGGGUGUGGAACUUAUUUGAACUUUGAAUAUAAACGAACGUGUCAAAAAUUUAAGUACAACGAAUUAUUAACAUGUAAAUGUAUAAUACGGUAUGCAAAAAUAAGAUAAUUGCUUGUUUUUUUAAUUGAAUUGUUAUAACACAUUAUACACAAUACAUUGUGAAUUAAAGCAUAACAUAAAGAAUUGCAUUGUUUGUGAGGUUUUAAAAUAUUCUAGUUUUAGAUUCAAUUUUCUAGUAUGUUUGGUUUAAUUUUACAUUAGAUUUCCUUUUCAGUAUGCACUAGUGAAUACUUGGCAGUCAAUUUAAUUUAAUUUAAAGAGAUAUUGCAUAUACAUAGAAGAAAAAAGAAAUAGAUGGUUGAAAAUGAUUAAACCAUAAGAUAAAAGAGCUUUUAUUCAAAAUGCAAAAAUCAACAAAAUAUUAAUUAUCGCUCAACUUAGCAUAAUUAAACAUUUAGGUGUGAAAAUCAAAUCACAAUUUGAGUAGCUAAACAUAUCGCUUGAAAAUGUGAUAAGUAAGAAACUUGCCCACAUUUGAGUAGCGACAGGUGGUGAUGCAUUUCCCAACGAGAGAAAACCAAGCUCUUUGCCAGUAUGGAUUUAUGUAGAGGACAACAAAAAUUGUCAACAACACAACUACAUAAGAAACCAAAAAGCUCACACAAAAAUCACCUAUCAAACCAUCUUCUCCUUUAUCUUCUGAUACAGUUAAUAUCGUUGAUGGCGAAUCGAUUUUGGAACAACUUUUAUGCAAUAUAGCUCCACAAAGAAAAGGAUUUCCCUCAUAACUGUUUUCAAUAAAGGUCCCAAAUUGAGCUUUUUCGGGAAUACUACCUGACAAGUUGUUGUAUGCCACGCUGAAAACCUCCAAAGAGUUCAACUCUACCAACUGAUUGGGGAUUUCACCACUCAAAUUGUUGUAAGAAAGGUCCAAACUCUCAAUUUGAUGUAGUUUUGCGAAUGACGAGGGUAUAACUCCUGUCAACUUAUUGUGCGACAAGUUUAAAGAAUGGAUUUCACUUAAGUUCCCUAAUUCUGGUGGGAUAUGACCAGUUAAGUUGUUGCAAGAUAAAUCAAUCCCGGUCAUAUAUGAAAGGAUGUUGCCCUCGUACAAAAAGAUCCCACUCUUUGUUGUGAACUCUAUUACUUCUUCUAAGUAGCUGUCAGGAUAGGAAGAAUCUAUUCCCAAAUUUAGUAUCAUACUGCGUGUUGUUUCAUCCUCUUCUAUAGGCCCAUAGAACUCAGUGUCUAGAAUCUUCUUCGUUUGCAUUAGAAGAGAUAAAUUUCCCAAGCAAGAAGGUAUAGGACCAGAAAACAUAUUUUGAGAAAGAUCUAUGAUGCUUAAAGAAUGCAACUUGCAUAACUCAACAGGAACUUUACCAUGAAAAUGAUUAUCUUUCAAGAGAAGAACACUCAAAGAAGAAAGCGUGUAAAUCCAUUUUGGAAUACUACCUGUCAAAUUGUUUCCUCUAAGAUCUAAACUCACUAUUGAAGAGCUAUUAUAAAAAGCAAGCGACAGUGGGCCUCUCAGUCUAUUCCCGUGGAUGUGGACAUGCUCUAUGUAUGGUGGAUUAAAACAUGACGGUAUAGAGCCAGAUAAAUUAUUCUGAGAAAGAUCCAAAAAUUCCAACCUAUUCAACUUGCAAAAUUCCAUUGGAAUAGAACCUUCAAAACCAUUAUUAGACAAAUCUAAUCUCCACAAAAAUGAUGCAUUCCCUAUCCAUCUUGGGAGCUUUCCAUGCAACUUGUUGUUACUGAGAUCAAUUUGGCUUAGUGAAUAUGGAAACUCAAAAGUAGAGGCAUUAACAUUUGUCAUCUCUCCUGAAAAAUUAUUUCCAUCCAAAUAUAAAUUCUCCACCCCAUUCGCGCUGAGAAUCACAGGAACUACAUUUCCACUGAAGUUGUUAUUUGAUAGUUUCAAAAUGAUCAGUGAGCCUUUCGUGAUCAACUCUUCUGGUACUUUUCCAUACAAUUGAUUGUUUGAUAGAUCUAAAAAUGAUAAGUACUUCAUGCCACUUAAACAAAGUGGGAUAUUACCUUCAAAAGCAUUCUUGGAUAAGAGUAACCGCCUCAAAUGUGGAAAAGUUGAACAUAUACCAGUCGGAAUUUGACCUUGUAAUUUGUUUUCAGAUAUGUCAAUUGAAGAUACAUUAGAAAUAAGAGCUGACGAACGUGAGAGAGGACCUGUAAAUGAAUUACCCUUCAAGAUGAGUUCUUCUAACUUUGUGUUGUUUUCUAGCAACCAAGUUGGUAAAGUUCCACUGAGAUUGUUAUGAGAAAGAUCCACAUAUCUCAAGUCAUAUUGGUAGUAAAGGAAGGUAGGAACUUUUCGACUGAGUUGUUGAGAUGUUAUGCACUUUGACAAACUGAUGACUUCCAAUUGGAACUUUGGGAUUGAGGUAUAAAAGGAAGGUUCCAAUACCAUUUUGUUUUCAUUACUGGAGAGGGCUUUGAGGUUUGAAAGGUUUGCAAAUGGUGCAAAUGACAGUGGAAUUUGAAAAUGGUUUCUUGAAAUAUCUAACACACGAAGAGAUGUCAAGUUACUAAAACAAUGAGGAAGCAUCCCCUCAAGUGCAUUCUCACUCACUUCCAACACUUCAAGGUUCCUUAGAUCACACCAUCCUGAAAAUUUUAUAAAUUCAUGGAAGAAGUUUCAAUUAAAUCUUGUUUUAUAAAACAGAAUAGGAUAUAAUAUAUUACAGAAAGCACAUACAGCAAUCAAUUUGAGCCAUAAAAUUAUUUACCUUGAUUAGGUAAGGGACCAAUAAGUCCACAAUCAGAUAAAGACAAUGUUUUAAGAGAAGCAAAUACUCCAAUGCUUUGCAAAAUGUUGGUGUUGAGAGUAGAAUUGUCAAGAUAUAUUUCCUCCAAAUUGCUCAACACAUUUGAAUCUAAGCAAUGUCAAGAGGUAUUAGAUAACGGUAUUAUAGAAAGCCUCUACUAAGUGAAAUGCUUUAUUUUCUGUGAAUGAAAUGAAAUAUAUAAAUUUUUUUUAUGAGUGUUAGACUAUUCAUGAUUAUCUGAGAUAAAUUUUGAUGGAGAGAAGAUGUUGAAACUUUAAUAUAACUCUUCAUCCAUUUUAUUAAUUAUACUAUUUUUUUUCUUUUUAGUAUUUUCUUAUAUUAUUUUUUAAUAUAAGUAAUUAACUGAUAUGGCUAAUUUGUAUAAUUUUCAAACUCCAAUCAACAACACUAUAAAUAAUAUUUAUAAAAUAAAACAUUUCUACACUAAAAUUAUUAUAUUACCUUUAAAGUUACCAAUACUUUAAAAAAAAAUAAAAAUAGGUAUUUUACUCACCAAUAAAUAAAAUUCAAAAAUAUAUUUAUAUAUGAAAUUAAAAAAUUUAUAUGUAUUUUUACUUUAAAAAAAUAAAAACAGGUAUUUUACCAAUACUCUAAUAUGUAUUUUUAUGUUUUAUACUAUUAAAAAUAUAUGAAAUUAAAAUAUAGUUAUAUUACAUAUUUUCUCAUAAAUAUAUGUUUUUAUUUAUUUAUAAUAUCAUUUUUUUAUUGUUAUAAUCAUUUUUUAUCUCAUAAAAAUUCAAUAAAUUAUUUUAAAAAAUAUAUUUAUACAAACAAAAUAAUUAUAAACAUUAAUAUUUAAAAAUUAUGAAAAAUUUAAAGAAUUUUAGUUUCAAACCAAAGUCGAAACACAUUAUAAUGGAGGGUUUAGAAAAUGUUUCACCAAACCCAUAUUUUACUUUCAAGUAUGAUAUGAUAUAACUUUAUUAAUAUUUAUGACAAUAACUGUUAUUAUAAUAUCUGAGAUCAAAACUAAAUUUCUAAAUUAAAAAAGAAAAGGAAAUUUAAUUAAAUGAUACCUUGGUGGAUCACAAAAUCUCUCAAUUCAUUAUAGCUCAUAUCUAGUUCCCUUAAUUUGAUAAAUGCUUCCAAAUCUAGGAAAACAAAAACAACAAAUUAAUCAACUCCAUUAUAUUCUCUUAAAACAUUAUUAUAUUCUUGUUAAAAAACUAAUAUUUUUACCUUUCAUAUCUAUUGAUCCUUUCAAUUGAUUGACCCUUAUGCUCAACGAUUUCAAAUUUGAAAGCUUGUUAAGGGAUGCAAAUGCACUAGUAUUGAAGAGAUUUCCAUCUAAAUUAAGCUCUUCCAAGUGGGUCAACUCCAAUUUUCUACCACCAUCUACAAAAGAUUUAUAUAAUUUCAUCACUGAAAUGAAUUGGCAUAAAAUUUAAUUAUAUGUAAGAAUUUAGGUAAUUGGUUAAAUAUAAAUGCAUACCUUUAAAGGAUUGAAAGCUUUCAAUUUGAUUCCCACUUAAAUCGAGUUUCUUCAAAUUUGUUAAAUUGCUCAAUCCUAUACAUAUCCACGUCCAAUUUAAAAAAUCAUUAUGUUAAUAAUUUUAAUUUCUACUUAAUAUUUUAAUGAAAUAAAAAUGAAAAAGAAAGUAAAUCUAAAACUUGAAGUGAAGAUGAAAAUCCUCAAACGUGAAAUGUGAAUGUUCAAAAUUAAAACAAUUGAUUUUAAAAGGUUCUAGAAAGAAUUAUCAAGAAAAACAAAGUUAUAGCUUUAGUACCUUUAGUAUCUAAUGAGCCUUGCAAACUGUUCGACCUCAUAUUCAAGGACUUUAGGCUUGAAAGCCCUUGAAGAAAGGAAAUUGUGUUGUUCCGAAAGAGAUUACCACUCAAAUCAAGUUCCUCUAAGUUUGUUAGCCUCAAUUGUGUUCCAUCUAUCAUUGGAAGAAAAUAAUAUCAUUCAAGAUAAAAAUAGUUAGGAAAAAUGAUUGUUUGAGAAGGAAGAGGCAAUUUACAAGCUUUCCCAUGAAUUGAUAACUACAUUUUACAAGUAAAACUUAAUUGAUUCAAUAUAUAAAUACUUUGUUUGAGAUACCUUCCUAUUUUGAAAUACUGCAACAUUAACUGUCCCUUAAACAAAAAUUGGUUUUAAAGUGAAAAAGAAACAUAUAAAAGCAGUCCACCUUUAAUAUGAAUUGACAUAUAAAUACUGUACUUAUACCUUGGUUUGAGAUGCUUUCAAAUUUCAAUUCUGUUCCAACUUAAAUCCAAGUAUUUCAAGUUUGUCAAAUUAUUCAAUCAUAAAAUUCAAUCCCAAAUAUUGAUUAGUUAUAUAUUCAUCGUAUGAUGAAAUCAAACUUGAAUAUACAUUGAUUUUUAAAGUUGAAAAGAAACAGGUAAAAUCAGUCUACCUUGAAUAUGAUCCAUCCUUCCUUUCAACUCAUUACCACUCAAUCUUAAAGUCUUCAAGGAUGAAAGAUUUCUCAUAUGGAACAAAAUGCUAUUCUUCAAAGAAUUCCAACUUAAAUCAAGAGUUUCCAAGUUAUUGAGUCUUGAAAGCAAUUGAAAACCUGAUAUAUAUACAUAAUUACUUGUUAAUUGUUUUUUUCUUUCUUUGCUAUAUGAAAAUUUUACUAAAGCAAUAGUGGAAUUACAACGGAUAAAAAGAAUGGAAAACUAGGUACCAAACCCAGAAGACCAUCCUCAAACUCCACUAUACAAAUAAAAACUAACACCAGACCAAACUUAAUUUACCUCUUAGAUGACUUGAUCCUUCUAAUUUGUUGUGUGAUAGAUCUAAAUACCGGAGAGAUGAAAGCUCACUCAAAGAUAACAAAAUGCUGUCAUUCAAGUAGUUUUCACUUAAGUCAAGGAUCUCCAAAUUACUCAACGUGGAUGAUAGUUUUCCAAAGCCUAUAGAAAUAUUCUUUUAAAUAUAUACAAGUUAGUGACUUUUCUUCCAUAAAAUAAAAUAAAAUAUAAGUAAUUGCAAAUUAACGAUGGUGAGAGUAGUGGAAUAAUAAAAGAUGUAAUUAAGGAAAAACUAGAGGCACGACCUUCAUUUUCAAGAUUACCACUUAUGGCAUUCCCCGACAAAUAAAGACUCUUCAAUUCCUCAAAGGGAAGAAACAUAGAGGCAUUGAGAUACCAGGCAUUGAGAUUCCUAUUAUCCAUGUCGUAUUCCCAUUUUGUAGAAUUAAGGGAGAGUUGUAUGAGUCUCCUAGUGGUGGUGUUACACUCAACUCUUUCCCAUUUACAACAAUCUGAACCCUUCACCUCAACCCAACUAUUCAAUUGAUUACCAUCAUUGAAGAAAGGUUUGAGAUGCAAGAGAGCGAUUCUCUCAUGCUCCAAACAAGCAUCAGUAGUACACCAUCUGCAUCCUUCUAACACCAACAACAUUACUGCCAUCCUAAUAAACCUUAACCAUUUCCACUUCAUCAUCAUCAUCAUCUCUCUGUUUUCACUUCUCUCUCAGCUAUAUGUUACUUUUUUUUAACUUCUAUAUGUAUAUAAUCUAAAGAAGCCUAAGCUUCUUAUUUAUAUACAAGCAGAUGCAUCCCACUAACUCACUAUAAUGUAAAAAUAAUAUAUAAUUAAUUAAUUCCUCAAAAAUUGGAUCAAAAUCUAGGCUUCUUAUUUACGUAAAUUAUUUAUUGCAAAAACUCUUAGUGGAAAUUCGUUAGGAAGGGAUGAAGGGGCCACAAGAAUAUUGAUGUUAAUCUUGAAAAACGAAUGGCCAAAAAAAUAUGAAAAGUGAGAGGUGGACAUAAAAUCGUAUAGUUGGGAUUGCAAAAGUCUUCAUGUGGCUUUCUUGUGAGUUUCAUUUAUACCCUUCUUACACUUAUACAAACUUAGUCUUGACUUGGCUUUAUUAAUGGAAAAUUUAGGUCUUCAUUUUUGGUUUUAUUCAUAGAAAUUUUACUUCUUUGAUUUUGGUUUUAUUAAUGGAAAUUUUAAGUCUUCAGUUUGCUUUUAUUCUUGCACAUUUUAGGUUUUGAUUUUGAAAAUUUAGUUUUUUCAUCUCUAUUAUUAUAAAAUUUCUUAAUUUAAUUAAUAUCAUGAGUUAAUUUAAUACUUUAAAAAAUAAAAUAUUACAUUCACUAUUUUUUAAAAAAUAAAAGUAACUAUAAAAUUUUAUUAUUUAUAUAAUAUUUAAAAAAAAACUAUUUAUUUCUACUAGACCACUACUUUAAAACUAUCCAUUAUCAUAUUGUAAUAGGCCCAAUUUGCCCGGGCCCGGUAAAUAAAUAAAACCAAUAAAAUCAAAUAAAAAAUAGUCCCAAAACAGUCCAUUUACAAUGACCCAAUACCAACCCAAUGGCCUAAAUCUCUACCCAAGCCCGAAUCUAAACCUAAACAGGCCCAAAACCCACUAAACCUAAUGGCCCAAUACCCAGCUUGGCUGAGACAAACCCUAGCCUUCAGCAGCUUUCUGCUCUUGCGCUGCAGCCAAGCCGCUCCUCACGUACGAGCCUCAUUCAUGCGCCGCACCGAGCAACGCCAUCGCCAGGGACCACGCCUGUACUGUGCCACGCGAGCCUCCGUACAUGCGCGCCCGUUCACCUCUGUACCAGUACCUGCAAAUACACACAAGAAGCAGCGAAGCAACAAAAAAAAAGAGAAAAUAGCAGUAGAAAAAUAGGGGAUUUUCAGUUUUUAUUUGAUUUUUCUGGCUAUAAAAGCCAAACACGCAGAUUGUAUCAUAGGGGGAACUCACGCAUAUUGCAAAAAAACAAGGGGCAGAAAAUCAAUACAAAAAAAAAAAGAAAAGGUUUUCUCUUCCUUCAGGUCUCUUUUCUUCUCCAAUUGUUUCUUUUCUUUUUCGAUUGUUAUUAGCCUCAUAUAAGUAUAGAUAUAUAUAGAGUAAAUAAUAACAAAAAGGGGGGGUUAAAACGUACCUGGUGAUGCCUUUGAAUCCACGCGAAGAAGCCAAAAAGCCUUGAAUGGUGAGGCUCCGACCACCAUUCGCAGUGGAAUCAAGGCGGAGGGGCGGACUGACGGCACUGAAGACUAGGGUGAAACCCUAGCAGAGGAAACAAUAAGCAAUUUUUUUUAAAAACGAGUCUGCUAAUGUUUUUUUUAGGGUAAAUUUUGUUUAAAUAAUGAUACAAUACGGAGCCGUUUUGGGCUAGGGUUCCUAGCGUCCAAACGACGUCGUUUAGAGGCCUUACCCAAUGACCCGAUCCAGAUGGCGGCUAGAUCCGCGUGUUUGGUAGGGGGAGGGGAAAUUUCGCGAAGAGUCCCUCUUGUUUUGUGCCGUUUCGGUUUGAUUUUCUUCAUUGUUUUUAAUUUGAAUCGCGUAUUUUAUUUUGUUUUCAAUUUGAUCCACAGUUAAACGGCGCCGUUUUCACUAAUCGGAUUUGAGCAUCCGAACAUUUGUGUUUAUUUUCUGUUUUAGUCCUCUCUGUUAUUUUUUAUUAUGAUUUUUACCCUCCUAUUUUAUUUUCACCCUAAUUUAGUCCCGAAACUGUUAGAUUUCACUUUAUUUAUGCAAUGUAUAUAUUUAUUUAUUUUAAACUUUAUAUUAUUUAUUUUAAAUCGUUCUAUUACUAUUUAUUUUAAGCCUUUUUUACAUAUUAUAUGUUUUAAAUUAUGUUAAUCAAUUAUUCAUUUUAAAUAUAUAUUAUUUAUGUUAAACUACAAAUGUAUAUUAUUUAUUUGGAAUUGUUCUUAUGCACAUCAUGCAUUAUCAUUUUUAAAAAAAUAAUAAUAAUAGAAUUUGUUUGCAUAUUGUUCAUUUAGGAUUCCUUCUCACACAUUACUUAUUUUAAACGUUUUACAUAUUAUUUUAAAUUGUUUUAUAUGUUUUUUUUUAAAUGCUUUGAAGAUUAUUCAUUUUAACUUGUUUUACACAUUAUUUUAAUAUGUAUGGAAUUGCUUUAAUAUAUAUAUACGUGAAUAAAACGUAUUGUAACUGGUAAUUUCUAAAAUUUUAUUCUACGUUUUAAAAUUUUUAUCAUUUCGAUUAUGUUGAUUGGUUUACUUGGGAUUAAAUUAUUAUUGCAUUGAUUAUUCUUUUUUUUGAUUUUUUUGUUAGAUUGAUUAUUAGUUUAUUUGAUUAUCAAUGUUGAUGUAUUAUAUGUUUGGUUGCUCCAAAUUGUAAAUUUAGCUUGCUAUUCACCAUUUGAUUAGUAUAUUGAUAUUUUAUUAUAUUGUUUGUAAAAAUUGCAUUUCAUUAAAGCAUUACAAUUGUUUUAUUUCAAAAUUCUCAAAAAGCUUGGUAUUUAAAAAUUCUCGAGAGGAUUGUGCCCUAACUUACUGGGCUUACCUUUUUUAAUUUGAACAUAGAAGUUUCAAAAUAAAAGCUCAUUCUCGGGAAUUUGACACGUUGUGUCCUAACGCAUUGAAUAUGACUAUUAUUUUCUCGAGAUGAGGAUUUUAAGGCAAUGUUCGAUAUUUAGGAAUUUUGUGAAAUCGAACCCUAACUUACUGGGUUUUGAUUUUCUCAUUUGACCCAGAUAAUCGGACAUCCUCCUCAAAAUGCAUAGGUUUUAAAAGACGAGAGAUAAACUUAACUUGGAGGACUUAAAAUGUUGCACUCUAACUUACUAAGGGUGACGAUUUAUUUCUUUGAAAUAAGUGAGUCUCGUCGUCCAAUUCAUUUUAUUCAAAAUAAAAGGAUCAAAUUUUAAAAUCUUUUCAAAAUUUUGACAUUAAGACAUUAAACAUUCCAAUCGGUACCAAUUUUGGGCGUCACGAGGGUGCUAACCCUUCCUCGUGCGUAACCAACUCCCGAACCCGUUUUCUCAAAAAUUCGCAGACCUAAAAUUAUUUUCAAGGUGAUCCGCACACCACAAUAAAAGAUCGGUGGCGACUCCAUUUCCAUUUUCAAAAUUGAUCCCCAUUUUUCAAAUUACAAAAAAAUGGCUUCGACACAUAUAACUUCUCUUUAAUAAUUCACUAUUCUUUGAACAUUCAUUAGUUUUUGAAACAUAAAAUUUAUAAAUAAUUAUUUUUAGAGUAAACUACACCCAUGGUCACUUUUGUUUACCUUAGGUUACAUUUCAGUCACUUAUGUUUGAAAUGUUACGUUUUAGUCACUUAAGUUAUUGUGUUGUAACAUUUUAGUCACUGAGCCGUUAGUUGUCGUUAAUGGCUGACGUGGCACGUUAAAUUAUCAUUUCAAACAAAAACUUUAGGUUAAAUUAUACAAUUGGUUUCCAUAAUUUUUCGUUUUGAGCAAUUUAAUUCUUUUAUGCUCUUUAACUUUCUUUCUUUUUUUUCUUUAUUUUCCAUUCUCUUCUGCUUCUCCCUGUUUUCCUACAUUCUUUAUUUCUUUUAACAUAUCAGGAAGUCGAAUUGGUAGUGAAGAAAGAAGCAUGGUAUGGGUUUAUGGGCUUUGGUUAUGGGCAAAUGAUGACAGUCGACUUCCUACUUCUUUUUUCACUGUCAAUUCGACUUCCUAAUAUGUUAAAAGAAAUGGGAAAAGUAUGAAAACAGAGAGAGAAACAAAAAAGAAUGGAAAAAAAGAGGAAAGUUUAAAGAACAUAAAAGAAAAAAAAUUAAAUUACUUAAAACGAAAAAAAUAUGGGGAUCAAUUGUAUAAUUUAACCUAAAAUUUUGUUUGAAAUGAUGAUUUAACGUGCCACGUCAGCUUACCGUUACACCAUUAACGACGAUUAAUCGCUCAGUGACUAAAAUUUUACAACAUGAUAACAUAAAUGACUAAAACGUAACAUUUUAAACAUAAGUGACUAAAACGUAACCUAAGGUAAAUAAAAGUGACCAUGGGUGUAGUUUACCCUUAUUUUUAAUAUGACUUGAUUUUUACUUGAAUCAUUUUUGUAAUUAGUUAAUUAAAUUGGGUUAUUUUAAAAAAAUCCUCUUAACUAAUAGCCAAAAAAAAAAAAGCCAUCAUGUAGAAAAUUCUGGUUUGUUGGAAAAAUAAAGACUUGACCUAUUACUUUAGAUUUUGAAAUGUUCAACUUGAUAUUGACAUAUGAUAAUAUGUACAAAUUUCUCAUUCUUUUAAAUUUCAGUGAUAUUACAUGUAUGAUAAUAUGUUUGCCACACCAAAUUUGAAAAUAGUAGAACUUAAUGAAUUUAACAGAUAUCUAAAAUAUCAAAUUAAAGUCUAGGAAUUAAAGCUACAACAUCAGUAAAGUACAAGAACUAUGGUAGAAUUAAACCUUUAUAUAAUAAUUUCCUUCUAUGAACCACAAUUCAAGUGCACCCGACAAGCUAAUUAAUAAAAAUUUAGUGGUAGAAUAUGUAUAUUCUUGUGGGUGGAAAUUUAGUGGAGAUGCCCAUCAUCUUUCCUAAUUAAUAAAAAUGAAGACUUAGAAAAUGUGCAAUCAUAAUCCUAGUUGUCGUUAUGGCCCCAAGAAUAGGUAUAUUAAUUUGUCUCUCUUCAGGAUCAAAGAUAAAUAAUAAAUUUUAUAAAGUUAAAACCAUAAUUCUAUAAUUAUAUUAAUGUAUAAUUUCAUAAAAUUUUAAAAAAUGUAUCUUUCAACUUUUUUAAGUAAAUUGAUAAUUCGUUAACUCAUAAUAUUUUUUUUUUCAAAAUAUUUAUGAGAACGAGUUCGUAUUCUAUUGUGUGGAAAAUUUUAGUACAGAUAUUGGUGAAGCCAAAUCCAACUUGUUUGACCAAGAAAGUCUCUGUCGUGUGGAAAAUUUUAGUUUUGUGGAAAAUGGACAUUACCAUUUCCUUGAAUGACCAUCAAUUUCUCCAUUGAGAUAUAGUAAGAGGGAGUGAAAUAUAUAUAAGGUAAUAUUUAAUGUAUUCACACCAAAUUUCAUUAAUGAGUAAAACAAAUAAUGAAUAAUAAUGAAAAUUGGAGGAAAUUGUUAAGAAAAUAUCAUUACAUAUAUCAACACUCACAUAAUUCAUUGUAUUAACUUUCAAAUGUUGACUAUUGACUUCUACAUCAACCUUGAGCUUAUAUAGGCCCCCCUCACGGAAAUAAUCUCACAUUUAAUGCCUAGAGGUGCUUAUGGGCCGGGCCGGGCCCAGAAAAAAUUUUAGCCCGGGCCCGGCUCGGCCCGAAAUAUGGGCCUGAAAUUUUGCCCAAGCCCGGCCCGGUAAAAAAUUCAUAAGCCCGAGCCCGGCCAUUUUUUAAAUAAAUACCAAAAAUUUAUUUUAAAAUUAAAAAAAUUUAAAAAAAGUAUUUUAAAAAUAUUUUAAAUAAAUACCAAAAAUUCACCCUGCAUCUAAAAGGAGGUCCAGCACUCGAAUCCCAUUCCCCAUAACUAAAAACCAUGUCACUGUGACUUGGUCAUAUCUCCGUUCAAAGUCGGACAUGGGUAGUUAAAGAAAAAUGAAGAGUCGAUGCAUGAUAGACUAAGGACUAGCUCAAAAGUGCUUUUAGAAAAAAUUGCUCUUGAAAAGAGGUGUGGAAAAGUGUGCUUGUUAGUUUUUAGUGUUGUUCAUUGCUGCCAAAAAUCGCAAUUGAAAGUUAAAAUGUUCUUUUUAGACAUGAUAGUAGAAAGUAAAAAAUUAGUCAAGUCAUAUGAUUUUUAAAUAAUUUAAUAUAAUGAUACAUGAAAUAUAACUUUUAAAUACCUUUUAAGUAAUUAAUAUAAAUUAGUUGUAAAAUUGAUAAUAUAUAAAAUAUUUUGAAAAAAAUAAAUAUAAUAAUAAAUAAGAUUUAAACAAUUUAAUAUAAUAAUAUAUAAAAUAUAAAUUAAUCUAAUUUUUAUAUACCUUUUAAAUAGUUAAUGAAAAUAAUAGUAUUUUGAUAAUUUUCCCUUUGAAAUGCAAAAGCCAAAAACAGUUUUUGACUACAAAAGCUAUGUGUUGUUCAUCACUUCUGCAGUGGAAAAACACUUCUCCAUGGUGUAAAAACACUUUUACCCAAAAAGGCUUUUUCACCACAGUAGAGAAUGCACCCUAAAAUUGUAAAUAGAAAAAGGAAGAACCAAACAUUGUUUCUACCCUGUUUUUGUCUCCUCUUUGAAAAUACUUUCCAAAAGUUUUAUCAUUUUUUUUUCUGUUUACGAUGCCUUAAAUGCAAAUUCCUUAUAGAAGUGCUUUCUUUUGAUCCACUUGCAUCAUUGUAAUAAGUUUGCAUUGCCUUCUUUCUAUGUUGAUUAUCGUUUAUUAAGUUUUCUGUUGGAUCUUAUAGUCAAAUUCCUUUACAUCAUGUAUGUUAAUUUGCUUAGCCCUGAUAAAUGUUAGAUAUAGGGUUAUCAGCUAAUUAGGAAAGACUGUAAUGAUAGUCACACCUUACAUCCAAAUUUUUACAUUGAGGUUCCUUAUUAUUUUUUCUUGUUUCACCAAUUGCAUCCUAUUUACAGUUCCUUAGCGUUAUCCACUGUGCUAGGGUGGUUCUUGUUCAUAUAUUAAUCACCAUGCGCCUUCAGCAAAUGCAAAGCCAGCCAGCAUCUUCUGAUUUGUCAUUGGAUACUACACUUUCAGCAAAUGUAAAGCCGCCAGAUUUUCAGCUGUUUUUAGAAGGUCAAGACACAACAAGAGCAACAUAUGUUGUAUUCUUGUCAAACAAGAUAAGUUUUCGCAUAUUAACGAUUCUUUUUCCAAGAUGAAUUAUUCUCCUGUUGCAUUUUUAUUUGGGUUCAAAUGUUCUGUGAAGUUAGCUUGCCAGUGCUUGUUUGUUCAUCAGCAUUUACAGCUCAUUUGUCAUUGGUCAGCAGAAUUUCCGCUGUUUUUAGAAGGUCAAGACACAACAAGAUCAGCAUAUGUUGUAUCUAACAUUUAUAUUCAACAACUGGAAACCAUGUCAUAAAUACAUAUGAAAAAUAUUUAAAAAUCCUUGGUUGAAUACUCGUGCACUAACAUUUUUUAAAAGUUAAUUUUGUGUUACUUUUUUCAUCUCUAUUAUUAUAAAAUUUCCUGAUUUACUUGAUAUCACGACUUAAUUUAGCAUUUAAAAAAUGGAAUAUUACAUUCACUAUUUUUUUAAAAAUAGGAGUAACUAUCAAAAUUAAUUAUUUAUAUAAUCUUUUUUAUAAAAACUAUUUAUUUCUACUAAACCACUACUUUAAAACUACCCAUUAUCAUACAACUUCUCUUUAAUAAUUCACUAUUCUUUCAAACAUUCAUUAGUUUUUCAAACAUAAAAUUUAUAAAUAAUUAUUUUUACCUACAUUUUGAAUGAUGCAAUUUCUAACUAUACACUAAAAUACUCCAUUUAUCAAUUUAAUUUAAUUCAAAGAAUUAUGAUAAUAAUUGAAAUUUCAAAAAAGGAAAAAAACUAGAUAAUUGAAUAUUUAUAUACAAAAAUAAAACAAACAAGACAGACUUAAGCUUUCUUACCCCAAAGACAAGAUCUUUAUUCAAAAUGCAAAACUAGCAAAAUACUCCCUAAAAUUCAUCUAAACACAUCUUCUAAAGAUGUAAUACCCAAGAAGAUUGCCCACAGUUGGUGAUGCACUUCCCAACGAAAGAAAACCAAACUCCUCGCCAAUAUGGAUUUAUGUAAAGGAUAGCAACAAUUGUUAACAACAUAACUACAUAAGAAGCCAAAAAGCUCACACAAAAAACAUAUGUGUCUAGAAAACUAUCUUCUCUUUCAUCAUCUGAUAUUGUUGAUAUUGAACCGGUUUUGGAGCAACUUAUAUGAAGUAUAGGUCCACAGAGAAAAGGGUUCCCCUCGUAACUGCUUUCAAUGAAAGUCCCAAAUUGGUUUUGUUCUGGAAUACUACCUGACAAGUUGUUGUGUGCAACACUGAAAACCCCCAGAGAGUUCAAAUCUACCAGCUGGUUUGGGAUUUCACCACUCAAGUUGUUGUAAGAAAGAUCCAAACUCUCAAUCUGCUUAAGUUUUGAGAAUGAUGAAGGUAUAACUCCGACCAACUUAUUGCGUGACAAGUUCAAAGAAUGGAUUUCACGCAAGUUCCCUAAUUCAAGUGGGAUUUGACCAGUUAACUCAUUGCAAGAUAAAUCAAUCCCAGACAUGUAUUCAAGGAUGUCGCCUCCAUAUGAGAAAGAUCCACUCUUUGUGGUAAACUCUACCGAUUCUUUCAUGUAGCUAUAGGAAUGCAUCAUGUGCUCGAAAAGUAUACCCGUCUUUAAUAGUUUCAAUUCAUCCAGUUCUGAAAAUGUUGGCGACAUUAAAUCUGGUGUCAUGGUCUUAUCCUUAUUCAUUGGAAGAGUUAAAUUUCCCAAACAAGAAGGUAUAGGACCGGAAAACCUAUUUUGAGAAAGAUCUAUAAUGCUCAAGGAAUACAAGGUGCAUAACUGGACUGGAAUUCUUCCCUGUAAAUGAUUAGCUUUCAAGAGAAGGACACUCAAAGAAGAAAGUGUGUCGAUCCAUUUUGGAAUACCACCAGUAAAAUUGUUUCCUCUAAGAUCUAAUGUCACUAGUGAAGUGCUUUUAUUAAAAGCAAGUGACAAUGGACCACCCAGUCUAUUAUUGUGCAGGUGGACAUGCUCUAGGUUUGGAGGAUUAAAACAAGAUGGUAUAGAGCCAGAUAAAUUAUUUUCAGAAAGAUCCAAAAAUUUGAAGUUAUUCAAGUUGCAAAAUUCCACUGGAAUAGAACCCUCGACACCAUUGUUAGACAAGUCUAAUCUCUCCAAAAGUGACAUAUUCCCUAUCCAUCUUGGAAGCUUUCCAUGCAAUCUGUUGUUACUGAGAUCAAUAUCUGUUAGUGAUGUUGGAAACUGAAAAGUAGAGACAUCAAAAUUUGUCAUCUCUCCAGAAAAAUUAUUUCCAUCCAAAUAUAAUUUUUGUAACCCAUUUGCAUUGAGAAUCACAGGAACUACAUUUCCAUUGAGGUUGUUGUUUGACAGUCUCAAAAGAAAUAGUGAGCUUUUCCUGACCAACUCUUGAGGUACUUUUCCAGCCAAUUGAUUGUUUGAUAGAUCUAACAUUGACAAAUUCUUCAUGGCGCUUAAACAAGGAGGGAUAUUGCCUUGAAAGGCAUUCUUGGAUAAGAAUAACUGCUCCAAAUGUGGAAAAGUUGAACAUAUAUUGGUUGGAAGCGGACCUUGUAUUUUGUUGUCAGACAUGUCGAUUGAAGAUACAUUUGAAUUAGGAGUCGACAGUAAUGUGAGAGGACCUGUAAAAGAAUUACCCUUCAAGAUGAGAUCUUCUAACUUUGUGUUGUUUUCUAACAACCAAAAUGGGACAGUUCCACUGAAAUUGUUCUGAGAAAGAUCCACAAAUCUCAAGUCAUUUUGGUAGUAAAGGAAGGUAGGAAGUUCAAGACUGAGUUGUUGAGAUGUUCUGCACUUGGACAAACUAAUGAAUUUCAAUUGGAAUUUCGGGACUAAGGUGUGGAAGGAAGGUUCCAUUUCCAACUUGUUUUCAUCAGCCAAGAGGACCUCAAGGUUUGGAAAGUUUGCAAGUGGUACGAAUGAAAUUGGAAUUUGAAAAUGAUUACUUGAAAGAGAAAUGGCUCUGAGUGAUGUAAGACUUGCUAAAGGAGUUAGAUUUCCGGAAAAUCGAUUGUUGGAGAUAUCUAACUCACGAAGAGAUGUCAAGUUACUGAAACAAUGAGGAAGCAUCCCCUCAAGUGCAUUCCAACUCACAUCCAACACUUCAAGGUUCCUUAGAUCACACCAUCCUGAAAAAUUUAUGAAAUCAUGGAAGAAUUUCUAAUUAAAUUUGGUUUUCUAAAACAGAAUAGGAGAAAUCAGAUAAAGAAAAGGUCGUAUAGAAAAUUUUACCGUGAUCAGGUAAGGAACCAAUAAGUGCACACCUAUAUAGAGACAAAGUUUGAAGAGAAGUGAAUACUCCAAUGCUUUGCAAAAUGUUGAUGUUGAGACGAGAAUAAUCGAGAUUUAUUUCCUCCAAGUUGCUUAAUUCUAAUCAAUGAAAAGAGGUAGUAGGUGUUAAUGAAACGUAAGUUGUUUUGGAAUAGAAGAAGUAUUAGAUGUUAAUCAAGAAAAGGUGUUUACCUGAUGAGAAAGCCUCUACUAAGUUUUCUAGCGGAAUGCUAUCGUCGGUGACAAUACUUUGGAGACGAAGAACUUUUAACUUUUUCAAUCCCUUGUUUUCUGUGAGCGAAAAUAUUUUGAUAAAAAUUGUGAAAACUUCAACAUGAUUGCACUAAUUGUUUUUCUUUUCUUUCUAGCAUUUUAAGAUAAAUAAUGUGUAAAAUAGAAUUUUCCUUUAUUGAGAUCAUUAUAUUACUUUAAAUUUAUCACCACUAAAUAGAAAAUUAUUAUUAAAUCAAAGUUUUAAAUUUAUUAUUACUUAAAUGUUGUUUAUGCUGGGUGAUUUUGAUGAGAAUAAUUUAUUAUAUAAAAAUAAAAGUAUAUUUCUUAAAGUAAAAUAAGAGAAAUAUUUUAAAUUUUUUUGAAAGUGUUUAUAUACAUAUUACACUUAAUCACUCUUUUGAAAAUUCUAAUUACUCUUUUAAAUUUUAUGUUAAUUUUAAAAAGUAUAUAUAAUUUCAACAGAAAUAUUACUUUAAUAUUAAAAUGAAGAGCUUUUGUGGGUAAAAAAAAUUAUAUGAGUUUAUUUAAUUACAAAAAUAAUUUAAGAAUUUAUUUAAAAAAUAUGUAGUUGUUUUAGGCUCGAUCCUAGGGGUUAUUUGAGAGUGCGGUCGCCCAGGGCUGGAAGGGGCCCAAUUUUUUUUUCAGAUUUUAAUAUGGGAAAAUAUUCAGACUAAAAUAAAUAAAUAAAUUGCCUAGAGCUUUCAAAUUUUCACCAUAAAUACUUCAUCUCCUAUGGCUAAAAAAUUUUUCAGCUUUUAUUGUAUUACAUUUUAUAAUAUUUUUAAAAAGACUCGUUUAAAGACUUUUUUAAGUAUAUUAACCUAUUUUAAAAUUCCACAUUUUUAAAAUGUCUUAAUUUUCAAAUUAAAGUACAAACACACUAUAAUCCACAAGCCUUAAUUGCCAUGUCAACAUAAACCACCAUUUAGAAGAUUGUUUUCAUUUUUUAAAAAAUAAAAAAAAAUUAUUUAAAUGAUACCUUUGUGGACCACAAAGCCUCUCAAUUGAUUCCCACUCAUAUCUAGUUUCUGUAAGUUAGUAAAUGCAUCCAAAUCUGGGAAAGAAACAGAUAAGCUUCAUUAAAUCAUUCCAAAACAUGAUUAAUAUUUUUGUCUAUAGAGGCAUAAUUUGUCAAAAAAUAAUAAUUUUACCUUUCAUAUCUAUUAAUCCAUUCAAUUGAUUGAAACCUAUGCUCAAAGAUUUCAGAUUUGAAAGCUUGUUUAGAGUUGCAAAUACACUGUUAUUGAAGAGAUUUGCUUCUAAAUUAAGCUCUUCUAAAUGGGUUAACUCCAAUUUCUUACCUUCAUCUACAAAAGAUUUAACGUAAUUUCAUCAAUGAAAAAAAUGAUAUAAAUUUAAUUAUGUGUAAUAAAUUAUUUAACUGAACCCUAAAUUGUGGGUUAAUGGUUCAAGUGUUCGAAUUAUCAUUGUGUAAAAAAAACAAACUUAAUUAACGGACCAAAAUAUAAAUACAUACCUUUGAAGGAUUGAAAGUUUACCAUUUGAUUCCACCUUAAAUCCAACGUCUUCAAAAUUUUCAAAUUAUUCAAUCCUAUAUAUACUCAAGUUGAACAAAUAUUUUAAUAACUUGGCUGAAGUGAAAAGGGUAAAAGUAAGGAAGUUGAAAAAUCCCCAAAAGUGAAAGUACUAAUUUGAAACAAAUAAUUAUAAAGGGUCCUACAUAAGUAAGGACUUUAUGCUUGAAAGCCUUCAAGGAAGGAAAAUGUGUGGUUUCCAUGGGAUCUAAUUAUAAUCCUUGUUUGCUGGAUUCCACCUUUUUUAUUUGGCCAACAAAAAAUAAAUAAAUAAUAUAAAAAAAUUGUGAUUACUAAGGCUUCAACCUUGAAGUUUAAAUAGAAUUAUUCAAUCCCAAAAAUUGACCAAAAAUUUCCCUCAAACAAAACUUAACUUUAAAGUAGAAACAAAACCAGAGAAAGGCAAUCUACCUUGAAUAUGAGGCCACUUUCCUUCUAAUAGGUUGUAAGCUAGAUUUAAAUAUUGGAGAGAUGAAAAUUGGCUCAAAGAUAAUAUAAAGCUAUCAUUCAGAUGAUUUUGACUUAAGUCAAGGAACUGCAGAUUUCUGAAUGUGGAUGAUAGCUUUUCAAAACCUGCAGAGUUAAUAAUAACAAGUAAUCGCAAAAUUAACAGUAAGUUGUGUUGAAAAUAUGUGUACAUAAUAGAGUAACUAAAGAUGAAAUGAAGGGCAAAUCAAAUAUAGAACCUUCAUUUUCAACACAACCGGCUAUGCCACUCCCUGUCAAAUAAAGCCUCUUUAAUUCCUUGAAGGGAAGAAACAAAGAGGCAUUCAGAUACCAAUAAUCCAAGUAUCCGGACCUCAUAGAAUCAAGAGAGAGUCCAAUGAGUCUCCCAGUGGUGGUGUUGCACUCAAUCCCUUUCCAUUUACAACAAUCUGAACCUUUAACCUCGUCCCAGCUGUCGAACUCAUUAUAGUGAUUGAAGAAAGGUUUGAGUUGCAAGAGAGCAACUCUCUCAUGCUCCACACAAGCAUCAAUAGUGCACCACCUGCAUCCUUCUAACAGUAGCAGCACACUCAUCACUGCCAUCCUCAUAAACCACAACCAUUUGGAGUCCAUCAUCUCUCUGUUUUUGCUUCUCUCUCAAUUGUAUGCUACUUCAAACUUCUAUUGCAUUAGCCUUCAUGAAACUUGUUAUUUAAAGACAAGGACCUAAGGCUGAAGGCAACCCACUAGUCCACGCUGAAAUAGUCCACUGAAUGUGACGAUAUAUAGGCCCUACAAAGUGUGGUUGUGGAAAUAAUCUAAACACCUAUCCUCCAAAUUAAUACUAUUCCUUGAGAAAUUAUUAAAGGUCAAUUUCUGGUUUUAGUCCCUACGCAAAAUUCAUUUUGAAGGUUUAGUUUUUAUAUAAUUUAAGAUCAAAUUUUUAUAAUUAAAUUAUCAUUUACGUCUGCUUUAAAAUUAUGAAAAAAAUAUUUUAAAAAUAUAACGAACUCCAGCUACAGCUUCAAAAUAUGAUGAAGAUGUUUUAGUAGAAUAAAUCGCAGAAUCCGCCAUCUUUGACUUUUGUUUUCUUAUUGUGAGAAUAUCUUAACAUUAUAACUUUUGAAUAUAUUUUGUUAUUUCAGUUAUUAAUUUAGAUCAUAUACAAAUUUCUUUCGUGAUAGUCUCAUUUAGAUUUGAAGUUUGUUGUUGGAUUUGAAGUUACAGGAAAAUAUGUUGAAAAUUUGGGUUUAAUAUUAAAUAAAAUGGGUUGGUAAAAUCUAUUAAUGUUAGUGGCGUUUUCCCACAAAUGCCACUAUAGAACAUGAUCUUUAGCUGCGCUUUUACUACAAACAUUGCUAAAAAACAUGAUUUUUUGUGGUACUUCUAGCUAUAAAUGCCACAACAUGCUUGACUCUUUUAUAGUGUUUUUCCAAAUGAACGCCGCAAAUUUUAGCGGCGCUAUCUAAAGCGACUUUUUACUGGCACUUAUCAAAGCGCCGCAAUCUGUUUUAGCGGCACUUAUAAGCACCGCCAUAGGGCCAAAAAAACACCGCUAAAAACCUAUUUUGCUGUAGUGAUUUACGCAUUUAUAAGCCUACAAAAUAAUCACGGAUUCAAUUUUAGAGUCCGUUAUCAGCCCCUAAUCGGGACAUCAAAUUGACCAAAAAGGGCCCACAUGACCUACCUGUUCAACUUGUGUAAUUGCACACGCCUAAGUGCUCCACACGGCCUGGCACACGGCCAACUACACAUCAAUGUGGUGCACAUGAACUUGUGACGCAGAGUAGCUUUGAAAAUUGUAACCUCCCAAACCCGGCCUAGAUGUUAUGACUAGAUUGAGAAGGCUACAAUAGCCACCGAAAUGGCUAAGCUAACUUACGUUACUUUUGAAGACCUUAAAUAAACUCAUUUUAGAGAAAACCGUAGUUGUACUUUGAGUUAGCUUAAAAGCAUUCAUUCAUUAGGUCGUGUAUACUUAGGAUUCAUUUUAUUGUUGAUAGUGUUGUUUUACAAAAAUAGUUUGCUUAUCGCUCUUCUUUUAAAAAAAACUCGAUGGUAAACUAAUGUGCGGAAAAACCAUUUUUCAAGUCAUUUUGGAAACUUAGUUGCCUUAACGAUUUGUUUUUCAGAAACAAUUCCUUUUUAAUGCAGCGGAAACUAGGGAACAAUAUCAAAUUUUACUUAAGCUCGAUAUCAUGCAUUAUUCAGUUAUUAUGCUUGAGUAAUCCAUGCAUGCAAAAAUCCCAAAAGAAAAGUUACUAAGCCACAAACCACAAGUCAUUAAAAAUUACAAACCAAAACUAAUAGAAUCUGAUUAAUACUUUUUAAAAAUAGUCCGAGGUCCAAGGUGAUUCUUCGAAUGCCAAGUCCGAUCCUAAUUUUGAGGUUUACACAUUCAUUUGACAUACUCAGCACGUCCUCAAUAAUCACAUACUUUUAGUAAAUGAAAACAAUGUUCCAAACUUUCAAAUUACCAUUGUGUUGGUAUUAAUCAAUAUCGUUCAAUUUCGCAUACUUUAUGAAUUUUGAUUAUGCAUAAAUAGCACCCUAUACAACAUAUAUGUAUAUAAUAUAUGCCAAGAAAAUUUAGAAAUACAAUAAAUCAACCUAAAUGAAAUCAUUCAUCAUCAUUUUUCAAGAUUUUAAAUUAUAUUUUCUCAUUCCCAUUGUCAGUGUAUUUCAACUUGUAAACAAAGAUGAUGGCUACUAUAAAUGGAAUCAUUGAUAUAUCAUGAUAUUUGAAUUUGACAACUAUUUUUAUACAUUUUAUUACCAAAAGUAAGGGUAUUAAUUUUUUAAUGUUUAAUUGUGGUUUAGAGUUAAUUUAUUUAAAGUUAAUUGUUAAUAUUAUUAAAUUCAAAUUUUCGUAAUUGUAUUAAUAGAAUAAAUUUAGUGUUAAAAGUGAGUUUAUUCAAUUUUAUAUUUAAUUUGUUAAAUGUAAUCUAAUGAUUUUUUUGUGCUCUAGUGUUGAUUUAAUUAAAGUUAAUUAUUAAUAUUAUUAGGUAACUAUGAGUUCUCAUCAAAUUAAUCCUAAAAUUCAAAUUAAAUGCUAAAAAAUUAACAUUAUUACUUUUAAAUAUCAAAAUGUAUAAAUUUUAUUAAAUAUAGAUACUAAAUCAAACAAAAAUUAUAAAUUUUGAGUCGUUGCAAAUUUUUCCAACAUUUUUGGGGUCUUGAAUUUGAUAUGCAAAAAGUUGGUGGGAAUUUUAAGUCAGCAAAUCCUUUAAAAGGGCAAUGACAUAAUUAAUUGCAUUACUUUAAUGGUUGAAUUUUCAUAGCUAAUAUGUAUGCAAAAAGUUGGUGUGAAUUUUAAGUCAGCAAAUCCUUUAAAAGGACAAUGACAUAAUUAAUUGCAUUACUUUUCAAAGAUCGACUACUGACUUUGGUGAACUUAUUUAUAGAAGGUUAAAUUCUGCUGUUGGUCACUGUACUUUACGAAAGUUGUGAAUUUAGUCUCUAAACUUCAAUUUGAUCAAUUUUAGUCUCUAUACCUUUUGAAUUUUGAAAUUUUAGUUCUAACCCAAACAGUAGCAGUUAUCAAUUUGAUUAAAUUCUAUUACUAUCGAUUUAGUCCAAACUUUCUGAAUUUUGAAAUUUUAGUCUUGAUGCAAAUGACAAUCACUGGUCUAUUAAUUGGAUUUUUAGUAAAUAAUAUGUGAAAAUAACAAGUUUGUUGACACCAUUUUUUUGAUAAAAAUGGGGUCGACUUAGAUUUUGAAAAUAAAAACGAAAAUGGGAGUCGCCACCGAUCCUUUUUGAUAAGGUGUGAUCGGGUCACCUCAAAAAGUGAUUGUUUUUAAUAAGCGAUUUGAUUUUAUUAAAACAACGAUUUUAGUCCACGAAAUUUAAAAAAAUGGGUUCGGGAGUCGGUUACGUUCAAGGAAGGAUUAGCACCCUCGUAACGCCCAAAAUUGGUACCUAGUUGAUUAAUUAAUAUCUUAAUGUCGAGAAUUGAAAACUCGAAAAGAAUUUAAAAUACAAUCAUUCCUUUUUAUUAAUGUUAAAUUUAUAAACGAUGCUUGGAUAAAUCGAGGUGGAUGCUAAAGACCUUCUUGUCUCAGAGUAAAUAAAAUGUCAAUCCAGUACGUUAGGACACAACAUUUUAAAUCCUCGAGAACAAGCUUAUCUUUUUAUUUUCAAAACUCGUGCAUUUAAAUUUCAAAAGGAUAUUCGAUUAUUUGGAUCAAAGGAGAUAAAUCGAAACCCAGUGAGUUAGGGCACGAUCAUUCAAAUUUCCCAAAUACAGAAUAUCACUUUUAUUAUUUUUUUAGGAAAAUCCUCAUCUCGGGAAAACAACAUGUCAUAUCCAAUGCGUUAGGACACAACGUAUUAGAACCCAAUACGUUAGGGCUCAAUCUUCUCGAAGAUCCAAAAUACCGAGUAUUACCCUUAUUUUCAAAAUUUUCUCUUUAUUACGAAUUUGAGUAAAAAUUGUAAAUGACAGAAUAACAAUUAUGAUAAUGUAAAUAAAUAAAUAAAUGAAUAGAAUGAAAAAAAGUAAAAAAGACAUAUAUGUAUGUGCAUAUAUAUAUAUAUAAAUUAUAAAAAAUAUAUAUGAUAUUAUAAAAAUGUAUGCAUGUAUAUAUAUUAAAAGUAUAUGUAUAUGUGUAUUUCGAAAGUAUAAAGUAUAUAAGAUAUAUAUAUGUAUAUGUUUAUAAAUUAUAAAAUAUAAAACAUAUAAGUACGUAUAUAUAUAUAAAUGAAUCAUGAAAUGCACGUGUAUAUAUGUAUAUAUUAGAAAAUGUAUGAAUAUAUAACAAAAUUUGGAAUUAAGGAUGUAAAUGAGUGAAUAAUAAUAACAAUGAAUUAAAAUACAAAAUCAAUGAUGCCAUACAAUAGUAUUAAUAAUAUCAAAAUAAUUAAUUUAAUGAUAAAAUAACUAAAACAACAAAUAGAGGAUUAAAUUAGAAACUAAACUAAAAUUUGGGGUCAAAUAAAAAUAACUUAAAGAGGGUGACUCGGGACUAAAACAAAAUGCGCUGAAGGAGCAAGGGACUUCCAGGGAAAUAUUCCCUAGUCCUGAAACGCAGCACUUCAGCAAGGAUUAAAAUGAAAUCAGAAAAAAAUUUAUGGGCCAAAAUGAAAGAAACAAAAGGGACAAAUUGCACUGAACUAUAAAAGAGGAGGGGCUGAACGCGCAAAUAGCCCCUCCAGGCAUAACACGCGGAUCCUGACCGCAUUCGGGUCGGGUCUCGGAUCGGCUCCUGGGUUUUAUGCCAAACGGUGCUGUUUUGGCCAUGGAUGCUAAGGUCCAAAACGUCGCCGUUUUUAAACUAUAUAAACACUCAAAAAAUCAACAAAAAAAAAAUUCAUCCCUUAUUUUUUUCAAAAAAACUGAGAGUCUCCCUAACUCUCUCUCAACCCCCAUCCCUCAUAUUCGGCCGACGACCUUCUUAGGCCUCCGUCGCGCCACCUCGUAGCCGGAGGUCGGCGCCGGAAAUGAAAGGCCAUUAAACCCCUUUUGUGGAGUCCUUGAGAGCCAGGCUCUCUCAACCCGCGAGGAGUGAAACAAAAGGGGGACCCUCGACCUUGGCAGACCCGACUCAACGAUGGAGGAGAGAGCCUCUGGCGGCACAGUCACGGCCAACUCCAGUGAGUCACCCUUCCCUUUUUGUCCUUUCUUUUAGUACUAGUUUUAAAAUCAGAUUUUUUAAAAAAAUGAUAAAUAAAAUAAGUAAAUAAUUCAAAAAAAAAGAAUCGGAGAAGACAGCAACCUUUGUUUCUAUUUCUGAAAUUCGUAAAAAAAUGACAGACGAAGAAUACAAUGUUAAGAUUUUGGCCUUUAUAGCCGAUUUAAAAACCCCUAAAUUUUUAUUUUUUGUCGUUUUGUUGUUUGGCCUGUUCUGCUGUUGCGUGUGGUUUACUGCCUUGCAGGUGUCAGAGGCUGACGGUCGGUGAUAGGCGAGUAACGGCCUGCGUGAGGAGUGGCAGAGGAGGCAGAACAUGCGGCGCUGGGCAUUGGGCAGAGGCGUGCGGCGCUUUGGGGUUUGCUCUUGGCUGAAAUUGUUUAAGUUGUGGGGCAGUCGAGCCACUAGGGUUUUUUUUUAUUGGGACGUUUGGGCCAUUGUAAUUUUGGGUUUAAGUUUGCUGUAAAUGGACUGGAAUAGUUUUUAUUUUUUAGGCCCGGGCCAAAAUUGGGCCUUACAAAGUCGAUAUGACAUUACACAAAUGAUAAUAUGUUUGUCACACCAAAUUUUAGAGAUAGCAGAACUUAAUGAAUUUAACAAAUAUCGUUUACGGUGAUUGAAAUCUUAAAAUUUGAAAAGUACAAUAACUAAAAUAUCAAAUUAACUUAUAGGGAUUAAAUCCACAACUUCAAUAAAAUACAGGAAUUAAUGGUAGAAUUUAACCUUUAUAUAAUAAUUUCCUUGGUGAAAAAAACGCACAUUAUCAUUUCCUUGAAUGAACUUCAAUUUGUCCAUUGAGAUAUAAUCGGAGGGAGUGGAAUAUAUAUAAGAUAAUAUUUGAUGUAUUCGGUAAAUGGAGAAUAUUAAAUAGAGUGAGCAAGCCAUUCGCCUCACGGAACACAUUAACGAAAGACACAAGCUUAAUACAGUCACUAAAUCCAUCAAUUUCAUUAACAACCUGCUAAUAAUUCAAGACAAUUGUUGGGUCCGGAUGGAUUAUAUUUUAAAAUUUUCUUUCAAAAUACAGAAGUUCCUUUGACAAAAAUGAAAAUAUUAUUUAAUUAUAGGGUUAGUAAUUAGUACACUGAUAAUCUACUUAAUGCUAUUGAUUUUUUUUUAAUAUUAUACAACACCUUUAUAAAACACGUGUCAACCCUCUGACUCUGCUUAUGAAAUUUAAAAACUUCAAUGACAAUGUACCAACUAUUAUUCUUAAUUAUUAUACUAUUCAUGAUUUAAGGACAAAGAUCAAAUACAAUAUUUGCUUAAAAAUCUCUAAUAUAUAUGUAUAUAUAUAUAUAUAUAUAUAUAUACAUUUGCUCACUUAUUGUGAUGUAAUAUAGCACCAUCCAGCUAACCCUAGCUUUCUAGCAAGUAGUCGGAGGAAAUUAUUGAGAAAAUAUCAUUAAAUAUAUCAACAAUAAUUGCACUAACUUUCCGAUGUUAACUACUGACCUUUGCGUCAACCUUGAGCUUAUAUAGGCCCCCUACAAUAAUUUAGGCUAUGGAAAUAAUCUUACAAUUAAUGCCUGAGAAAUAAUUAUAGAUCAAUUUAUAGUUUUAAUCCCUAUAAUUACUCAAUUGAAUUAAAAAUUUUGUUAUUCUUAUUUAAUUUAAUUUGAUAUAUUCUGUUCCUCUUAUUAAUGUUAAUGUUUAGAGUCCCCGCUUGUACAUUGGUGAUUAGGUCUCUCACCAUUAAAUUAUUCUCUUAAGAACCUAACCUGCAAAUUCAUAACAUAAAAAAUUUACAGUCAAAUGUAAUCACACAAAUGACAUUCCUCACUUAAACAGAUUAAGUCGUUGCAAAUAUCUAAACAUAAUCAAAGUCGUCGUUAUGGCCCCAAGAGAAGGCACGUUAACUUGUCUCUCUCACACAUAGGAUGAAAUUAGUCUAAACCUAACCUUGGUAGAGCCGACCAUGUCGGGCAGACCACCCUACAUAAAUCUGAUUAUUUUAUCAUAGUUUAUUCAUCACUGAAGGAAGUAUGCAAAAUUAGGCAUACCAUUUAUCCUCACCUCUCUCGCUGACAAAAGAUUCAUGUUAAGUAUAUUCACCCUACAUAAAUUAUCAAGAGGAAUCACAGAUUUAAGGACCGUGGAAAAGAAUUCCAGAACCAGUUAUAUACAAGCAGGGCCUAUGACAUCCCCACUAAUUCUCAAUCAUAUAAAAUAAUAUAUAAUUAAUUCGUCUGGAAUGUUUAAGGCAUGGUGGUGAAUAUAUCAUGAGCGAUGUUGCUGAGUUUCUUCUGAAGAAUUGGCUAGCUAUUAGUGUCUAAAGGAUCUUUAGUUAUAUGGGGCUUAUGUUUCGGUUGCUUGAACAAUUGCUUUUCAGAGGGCAGAAUAGUAGAGGGGGGUUUUGGGGGUCUGGUGGUAUGGAGUUAUGAUGUUAUCAAUAUGAGAUUUUGGUGAUUUGUACUUGAUAAAGGGACACUUUUCGUGAGGGAUUGCUACAUUUUGCAGAUUAUAACAUUGUUUACAAGUGCUUAAAAUGUGUAAUAAUUUGAUCGAGAGAAAAAAUGACCAAAACAAAUGUUCUCAGCAUUUUUGCUUCAUUUAGAACUUGUAAUUAAUUUUUUUUAUCAGAGAAGUUGUAAUUAAUUGGAUUUGGAAUGAAUUGAUAAUAUCCUUACUAUUUCACCUUUUUUAUAUGUUUGGCGUGUGAGUAUGAUACAGAUUGAACUGGUUUUUAAAGUAGAAAUAAAACGAUAACAAACCAAAACAUUCUGGUUUUCAAAAUUUUGAAUCCAAAUCAAUCGAAUUAGUUUAAUUAUAAUUGAAUGUUUUAUGUGUUAUGAUGAUGAAGGAAGUUGAUGAGGUGACUUGCUUCAUCUUUCAAAAUAUGAGGUUCGUUUGAAGUUCUCUUUGACACAUCUUUACUAUUGUUUUUUAAUAACAAAUGAAAAGUCAAUUUAAAAAACAAAAAUCCAAACCAAUGAAUUUCUUUUAUACAUAUAAGAUAAGCUUACUGCAAAGCUCUUGUUUUUUCAAAAUAAAAUUUUGUUUUUGUUUUAUUAAUUUUGUAUGAAUCAAAUGAAGUUUAAUUUUUUUAAGGGUAAAUUAAACCAACAGUAACUCAACUUUGAUGCAGCUGACAAAAUAGUUGAUUUGGUUUCAAUUCAGUCACUCAACUUUCAAAAAAUAACAAAUCAGUCACUAACGUUACCAAAAAGUGACAAAUCAAUCACCCAUUAACAUUUUCCGUUACAGACCUAACGGGACAGGUGACAUGGCUAGUUAACUUGCCACGUUGACAUGGCAAUGCAUUUAAAAUUGGUCUAAUUAAGAAUUUGGUCAUUGUACAUUAUGAAAACAUAAAAAUUAUUUCAAUUGAGUAUCAAUAUUAAAUCUUGUCCAUUGACCCAAAAAUCAUCAUUUCAACAAAUUGUAUGUAAGAAAUUAGUGAAAAUCAACAAUUCAGUAAUUUAUAUCAAAAUUGAGGACUAGCUUUUCAUUUUUUUGUAAAUUACAUGGAUGACAUUCACAAUUAGACCUAAAUAGUGACAAAUUACAAAUUUAAACCCUAAAUACCUUUGUUCAGAGGAUCCGUAGCCAACAGAAUCAAUAAAACCGAUGGAGAUGAAACUCAUGCAUUUGGCGUGAAGAUGAAACUGGACAGAGUAGAACUCGCAUUGUUCGUCACCGUUGCAGGUGUCACAGUCACACGAGAAUCGCAUCGACAUGGCGCGUCGGCUAGUGAGAGGGAUUAGAUCAAGUCGAUGGGCAAUGAACUUGUCGUUGACGACGGAAGAGUUAACUUCAAUUUUGACGAGGUCGAUGGCUAUGUUGGGAACCUCGGCUAUCAUGACACGAUGGAGGGCAUUGGCCAUGGAGGCGUUGGUGUCAUGGCAGCAUAGUUGUCUUUGAGUUCUCGGAUUUUGACCCUUGGGAAUCGCUAGUAUGAAGCUCCUUCCAUUUUCUCUUCUUCUCCAUUUCUUCUCUUCUUCUUCUUCUUCUUCUUCUUCUACUGCCCAAGGCUCUUAAAUGGGGUUGUUUAAAUGACAGCUAGCCUACCGUUAAAUGUCAUGUCACUUUUCUGUUACAAACGUAACGGAAAAUGGUUAAAAAGAUUGAUUUGUUAUUUUUCAAAAAUUAAGUGAUUGAAUUGGAACUAGAGUGACUGUUUUGUCAAUUGCAUCAAAGUUGAGUGAUUGUUGUUGCAAUUUACCCCUUUUUUUUUAAUAGAGAUAAGCUUUGUGGUGGAAAUUUGUUAGGAAAGGAUGAUUGUAGGAAUGGUCCACAAAAUUAAUUGCAUUCCCUUUUCUUGAUGAAUUCUUAUCUUUGGGUCAACUCUUAGCUUAAAUACACUGCUAAAUUUAUUUUAGGUUGUACAAUAUAAAUGGAGCAAUUGAUGUCAGGAGAUAAGUUGGAAGUACAAUUAAAUUUUUUCAUAAGAGGAGAUGGGAUGAGAAGAUUUGAACCCAACAAUUAUUGGAAUUUAGAUUAUAAAAUUGGCGUGAAAUCAUGAAUUUAGAUUAUAAAAUUCUUUCCAUUUUAAUAAUCAUUUUAGAACUAGUUUGGUUUCCAAUCUAUAUUUUGUGUUGUGUUUUGUUUAUGUCAAAUUUUAAAGUAAAACUUUGAAAGUUAAAAUACAUUCUAAGUCCCUAUACACUUUGUACUUUUAGAAUUUAGUUCUCCUAGUUUUUAUUUUUAUGAAUUUAGUCUUUCUAUUUUUUGGUUUUCAAAAUUCAAGUCCCCAAUUAUUUUCACUGUUAAAAUUCUUCUAUUAAACUCACUAGUGUCACCUUUUGAAAUUACCAAAAAAAAAAUCAUUUUGUAGUCAUGUAAUAAUAAAGAAUAACGUUAAAAAUAAUGAUGUGGAUUUUUAUUUAAAAUACUCAUCCAAACUGAUCAUGAUAAAAUGACUUUUUUUUUUGUUGGAAUAGUGUUUUUAAGAAAAAUUGACGUCAAUAUUUUGAUUGGAAUAGUUUACAAUGUUAAUUAUUUAGACUAACUAAUGACAUUACAAAAAUAAAAUAAUGAAAUUAUGCCAAAAAUUAAGGAAUAUAAAUUAAAUCUCAAGUUUUAACAUAAUAUAGGGGCUAAUACUAAAAUUUGACCAUUAAUUUCCAUGUAAUAUAAAAUAAAAAUAAAAAAGUUGUGUGAAGCAGCCCAAGCUUAUGACAGAAAAAAAAAAACACGGCCCAAAGCUAAGGUUACGUGUUAGAAAGGGAAUGUCAUGAUAGGGGUGAGUAUUCGAUCAAGUCGAGUUAAAUUGAGUCAAAAAAGUUUAAGUUAGUCGAGUUUACGAAUCCUAUUUUAGUAACCGAACUCAAUUUGAAUUUUUUUUCUGAAUCAUAUUGAGUCAAAAAGUUUCGAGUCAAGUUGAGUCGAGCUAAAGAAUCCUAUUAUUUAUACUCAAAACUUAUAUUUACAUGGACCGAUUAUUUAACUAGUAGAUGAAGUACAAGAUUAUUUAACUACAUAAACAAUAUAAUGGUUUUGCCUUUUAACUUAAUGAGUAAAUAUUUAUCAAAACGAUAUAGUUUUGUCUUUUAAUUUAAUAGUUUUGACUUUUAACUUUGGAAAAGAUAAAUUCAGAUUUUCAGAUAACUCGAAUUGUGUAAUUCAUAUUCAAGUUGAAUAUAAAAACUUAAUUUUUUUAUUCGGGUUGAUCCGAAUAACUUGAUUAACUCAAAUAACUCGAACUAUUUAAUUCAAAAUUUAAAAUUUUUAUCAAAAUUUUCAGAUCAAAUCGAAUUUUGCUCACCCCUAGUAUUGGACAUUAUUUUUAUAUACGGGUGUAUAUAUAUGUGUGCGUGUGUGUGUUUGAUGUGAUUUCCUUGUGAGUUCCAUCUAUUUUUAGAAGUUUUUCCACGUAAAAUAUGUGUAUUUAAUAUUUUCAAUUCUUUUAUUAUUCUACUUGCUCGUUGCAAAUACGUUUGAUUCACAACAUUUUAACCUAAACUUAAUUGUAAAUGAUAAGAGAUAUUUUACGAUUAAAUAAAAAAAUUUAAACCACUAAACCAUUACCCUAAUAUGUCAAAACACAUGCAUUUUUUAAUUUCAAAAUUUAUGAAUUCCGAAGUAAAGAGCAUACGAUAUUUAUAUUAAUGUAAGAAAUGUAGGCUUGCUAAGUUUCGCAAAAUCAUAUUACACUUUUAAUUGAAUAUAAUGGUGGGAUGAUUCAAUUAUUAAAAACUAAGUUCGGGCAAAAAUGUAAAAAUAAUCUAAAAUUAAUUGAAUUAUUAUAAUAAAUUUAUAUAACUUAUGGAGUGAACCAAAUCAUGACAUAAUAUCAAAAAUAAUUAAGACAUGUCAUAUUACAAAUAAUAAAAACUCAACUUUAUAAGCAUAUCAAAAUUUAUUAUCAUGGCGUAUAAUAUGUUAUGAAAAAAGAAAAAAGAAAAAAGAAAAAAGAAAAAGAAGAGAGACAAUCGCUUCAUCAUGAGAUAUAAGCCCUUGAAACCAAAAGUUAGUUGAAGCUGUUAGGAUCGACUCAAUUAAGCAACAAGUAACAAAAAAUAGUGGAGUAAAUUGAGAAAUUGAACACACAAAUUUAACGUGGAAAACCCCUCCAAAGAGGAUAAAAACCACGGGCAAAAAUAAUUUUACUAUAAUGACAAAAGAAUGAAGAGUACAAAAGAUGGAGAUAAAAAGCUAAACCCCAAAAAACCCCAAAAACAAAGAACCCUCAAAACGUAAACACAAUGUAACGCCCCAGAAUUUUUAUUUUUGUUCUUGCAAAGGUAUAACACAAUUGUGUAUCUACUUUAGUGGUUAAGUGUUUUGGGUGUAUGAGAGGUCUCAAGUUCAAGCCAAGACUUGGCGAAAUUUUGGUAUUUUUAUGAAUAAGCUCUAUCUUUGGUCAGUAGGCUUUUAAGUAAGAGUCGACAAAUAAUUAAAAGAAUGAGCUUGUUCGUUUGGUGGAUAAGUGGAGUGUUGGUGUGAAGGAGGUUUUGUGUUCAAUUCUCUAUGGUGGCAUGGAGAUAGUAUUUUUGCUCCAAUUUUGGCUAAGAGUUGUGUUUGGGCAAAAUUCUGAGUAGUUGUGUUUUAGUGGGUUAAUAGGGAGUGAUUUUUGGAAAUAAUGGGGGAGAGGUUAUCAGAAAAUAAUCUGAUUGUCUUUUUAUUGCAUAAAAAAAGUAGAGUUUCGGUUUUCUCUCCAAUUACCCAAACUUUUUCUGACGUUUUCUUCUUUUUUUUCCCUCCGCUGUCGAUUCUUUCCCCUAGUUGUUGCCAAAAUUUCCAUUAUUUUUUCCCCUUCCAUUUCUUUCUUUUAUUUUCCAAUUGAUUUGGUUGUUUAUCGUUGGUUGCGUGUGUUCGGUAAGUAACGGUUUUGUCUAUUGUUAAUUGUUCUUAGUUAAUCUCUGAAAGGGGGAUUCCUUUUUGGUGUUUCGGAGUUAAUCAAGGGGCUAGUGGUUAUGAAUCGAUGCUGUGAUUGUGUGAAGUCAUGAUUACUCAAGCGAGGUAAGGGUUUUGUUAGGUUUUUAGUUGAGUUCCUUCCAAAAUUGGUUAAUUAAAAAUGAAUUAAGUGAUUAAUCUGGAGAUUUGUUGGUCGAUUUUUAGGUUAUGGAGGCUUAGGAGUGCUUACGCAUUAGAAAUGAUACCAGGUGUGUACCCGAAAAGCAGAAAAUGAGAUUCGGCGAAAAGCAUAAAUUGCUUGCUAUUUGGACAGCAGCAGUGGGCUAACUUUAAAAAAUCAUCAUAAAUUGUGAAAAUUGAAUUAAAGGAUGAAAAAAGUAUGGAAUUAAAUAUUAUUGAGUCUAGUUUCUCAUAGAGAAAUGGUGUAAGUAAUGGAAUUGUAAAUCGUGAGAUAUAAUAAAUUUUGUGAGACAAGGUCAGAAUGAAUUCAGGUUUCCCUUUUUUGACUUUGGAAAAUCAUUAAAAAUUGUAUAAAAAUGAUUAUGGGUUAAAAUUUAUAUGAUUAAAAUUCUUAAUGAGUAUAUUUUCAAGAGAAACAAACCUUAACAUCAUCUGAAUCUCGUACUAAGAGAUAAUUAAUUUUUAGAGAAGAAGGGUCGAAAUUAUCAGACAGCAGAACAGGGACAAUUUUGAAGAAUUAACUGUACUCAUUGGCUAAACCAAAAAUUCUAAAAAUUUUAAGGUAAGAAGAUAUGUGAGUCUGUUUUUCGGGAAAAUCAAGCGGAUCUUAAUUUUGAAUUCUGUAGCUCUAGUUAUAAAUAAUUUAGUGACAAUGACUCAAGUAGACAACUCUGAAUGAUCAUAUUAGUAAAUAGUGGAAACAUAUAUGAAUAUUUAGCUAGCAUGGGUUACAUUAAAAAUGGAUCACACGGCCAAGGCCAAUUUGGGCCGAGUGGGCCACGCGGGCACAUGGGCGUGUGGGUCCAUUUUUACCAAAAUGUUUCUAAGGCUGCACAGGUUGCCCAAGUCGACUGUGAACCUACUGUAAGGUCGGUAAGUGCUACUUAAACCCCUAAAUGUGUGAAAUUGACUGAAUGAUAUUUGUACUGAGCAUGUUAAUAUCUAAACUGAAUAUAUGUACUGAAAUUGCAUAAUAGCAUAUCAUCCAUGGUAUGUUGCAUUGCAUUGGGUUGAGGGUUGUUAUUUGGAGGAAAUGUACUAAAAGGCUUUAAGCCUAAUUUACUGGAAUCUUAGCUACAAACUACUGUUUUGUGCCGCAAUAUUCAAUACUACUUGAAGUGUAGGAAUGGGUGGGUUGAUUAUAUCCCCACAUGGUGUGUAGAGGCUGGUUGGCAAAUGGAGUUUUAGUAAGCACAAGCAUCGUCAUCUGUCCAUCAUAACUUGGAAGACAACAAAGAUACUCAUAAAAUAGAUCUGCAAACUGAAAAGAGAGAAGUCAUGUGGAGUGAAUAAGAAGAAGAAAGAAAAAAAGGUUGGUGGGAGGAAGAAAAAGGGUCGCGAUAGCCAAUCCGAAGGUUGUCAAUGCCAUUGGGCAAAAUAAAACAUAAUAAACAAACGGCUUGGAGAAAAAAAUUAAGAAAGAAGAAAAAAUUUAGGCAAAAUUUAUAUUAAUGUAAGAAAUGUAGACUUAUUAUGAUAUUACAUUUUUUAGUGUGAUCAUUCAAUUAUUAAAAAUGUAUUUAUAACAAAUUAUGUAAAAUUUUAUAUAAGCAUAUAAUAUGUUAUGCAAAGAGAAUCACUUUUCUUAGUUGAAUUGUUAUAACACAUUAUACAAAAUAUAUUUUAAAUUAAAGCAUAAUGUGAAUACGAUACCAACCAACAAAUUAAAUUCGAUGAUUUAUGGAUAAUUACAUUUAUUACUCAAUUUAAUUUAAUUCAAAGAGCUAUUGAAUACACAUAACAAUUAAUUAUGAUUAAACUUUAAAUUUCACAGAAAAUAAAAAGAAAUAGAUUGUUGAAAAUGAUAAAAUGGAAAGAUAAAGCUACAAACUUCCUCCCCACAAACCUAAGAGCUUUUUAUUCAAAAUGCAGAAAUCAACAAAAUAGUCCUCACAAUCCAACUUAGCAUAGUAAAACAAUUAGGUGGGGAAAUCAAAUAGUAAAUUCCUUUUUCCUUGAAUCAACACCAACCGACUUUGUUGAAAUCUUCACUAUAGCUAAUCACAUUGCCUGAAGAUGUGAUAUGUAAGAAAAUUGGCCAUUGUUGAGUAACGACAGGUUGUGAUGCACUUUCCAAUAAAAGAAAACCAAACACUUCGCCAAUAAGGAUUUAUGUAAAGAACAACAAAAAUUGUCAAGACCACAACUAUAUAAGAAACCAGGAAGCUCACACAAAAAUCAUAUGUGUCUAGCAAACUGUCCUCUCCUUCAUCAUCUAACGAAUUUGAUCUAGUUGAUGGUGCAUCUGGUUUGGAGCAACUUUUAUGCAAAAUAGUUCCACAAAGAAAAGGGUUUCCCUCGUAACUACUUUCAAUAAAGGUCCCAAAUUGAGCUUUUGGUUCAGGAAUACUACCUGACAAGUUGUUGUGUGCCACACUAAAAACUUCCAAAGAGUUCAACUCUACCAACUGAUUGGGGAUUUCACCACUCAAGUUGUUGUAAGAAAGGUCCAAACUCUCAAUUUGAUGAAGUUUUGAGAAUGAUGAAGGUAUAACUCCGAUCAACUUAUUGUGUGACAAGUUUAAAGAAUAGAUUUCACUUAAGUUCCCUAAUUCUGGUGGGAUAUGACCAGUUAAGUUGUUGCAAGAUAAAUCAAUCCCGGUCAUAUAUGCAAGGAUGUUGCCCUCGUACGAAUACAACCCACUCUUUGUUGUGAACUCUAUUACUUCUUCUAAAUUCUAUUACUUCUUCUAAGUAGCUGUCAGGGUAGUAAGGAUUUAUAUCCCUUUCCAAUUUUCUCAUCGCAAUGGAUGUUGAUUCAUCCUUUUCUGUAAAUGGAAGAUAGAACCCAGUUGCUAGACUCUCUUUCUCUUUCAUUGGAAGAGAUAAAUUUCCCAAACAAGAAGGUAUAGGACCAGAAAACAUAUUUUGAGAAAGAUCUAUGAUGCUUAAAGAAUACAACUUGCAUAACUGAAUUGGAACUUUGCCAUGAAAAUGAUUAUCUUUCAAGAGAAGAACACUCAAAGAAGAAAGUGUGUCAAUCCAUUUUGGCAUGCUACCUGUCAAAUUUUUUUCUCUAAGAUCUAAAGUCACUAGUGAAGAGCUAUUAUAAAAAGCAAGUGAUAGUGGACCUCUCAGUCUAUUCCCGUGGAGGUGGACAUGCUUUAUGUUUGGUGGAUUAAAACAUGACGGUAUAGAGCCAGAUAAAUUAUUUUGAGAAAGAUCCAAAAACUCCAACCAAUUCAAGUUGCAAAAUUCCAUUGGAAUAGAACCCUCGAAACCAUUGUUGGACAAAGCCAAUCUCAAUAAAAAUGAUGCAUUCCCUAUCCAUCUUGGGAGCUUUCCAUGCAACUGGUUGUUACUGAGAUCAAUAUCGCUUAGUGAAUUUGGAAACUCAAAAGUAGACACAUCAACAUUUGUCACCUCUCCUGAAAAUUUAUUUCCAUCCAAAUAUAAAUUCUGCAGCCCAUUUGCUUUGAGAAUCGCAGGAACUACAUUUCCACUGAAGUUGUUAUUUGAUAGUCUCAAAAUGGUCAGUGAGCCUUUCGUGAUCAACUCUUCUGGUACUUUUCCAUACAAUUGAUUGUUUGAUAGAUCUAAAAUUGAUAAAUCCUUCAUGCCACUUAAACAAAGUGGGAUAUUACCUUCAAAAGCAUUCUUGGAUAAGAAUAACCGACUCAAAUGUGGAAAAGUUGAACAUAUACUGGUCGGAAUUUGACCUUGUAUUUUGUUUUCAGAGAUGUCAAUUGAAGAUACAUUAGAAAUAAGAGCUGACGAAAAUGAGAGAGGACCUGUAAAAGAAUUGCCCUUCAAGAUGAGAUCUUCUAACUUUGUGUUGUUUUCUAACAACCAAGUUGGGACCGUUCCACUGAAAUUGUUAUGAGAAAGAUCCACAUAUCUCAAGUCAUAUUGGUAGUAAAGGAAGGUAGGAAGCUUACGACUGAGCUGUUGAGAUGUUAUGCACUUUGACAAACUGAUGACUUCCAAUUGGAACUUUGGGAUUGAGGUAUAAAAGGAAGGUUCCGUUACCAUCUUGUUUUCAUUACUCAAGAGGGCUUUGAUAUUUGAAAGGUUUGCAAAUGGUGCGAAUGACAACGGAAUUUGAAAAUGGUUUCUUGAAAUAUCUAACACACGAAGAGCUGUCAAGUUACUAAAACAAUGAGGAAGCAUCCCCUCCAGUGCAUUCCCACUCACAUCCAAUACUUCAAGAUUCCUUAGAUCACACCAUCCUGAAAAAUUGAAAAAAUUGGUGGAAGAAAUUCUAAUUAAAUUUGGUCUUAUUUAAGAGAAUAUGAGAUAUUACACAAAGCUCAUACAAAAUUCAAUUUGAGCCAUAAAUUUAUUUACCUUGAUUAGGUAGGGGACCAAUAAGUCAACAAUCAUAUAAAGAUAAUGUUUUAAGAGAAACAAGUACUCCAAUGCUUUGCAAAAUAUUGGUGUUGAGAGUAGAAUAGUCAAGAUAUAUUUCCUCCACAUUUCUCGACACAUUUGAUUCUAAGCAAUGUCUAGAGAUAUUAGAUAACGAUAUUGUAAAUAGAAAAUUAUAAUUGAUCAUGAGAAAGAAGUUCAUAUUGACGAGAAAUGCCGAGGACAGCAAUCGCCAUCCCAUGUCAAAAAAAUCAUUUGAGAUAAAUAAUGUUUGAUUUUCUCAGUCUUUUAUUUUUUGUGAAUGAAAAGAAAUAUAAUUUACUUGAAGUUUUUUUAAUUAUUCGAAAAUGCCAUUUAUUUAUUUUAGGCCAAAAAAUUCCAUUUAUUUAACUGUAAUAUAUAUUUUUAUGUUUUAUAUUAUUAAAACCAUAUGAAAUUAAAAUGAUAGUUAUAUGACAUAUUUUUCCAUAAAUAUGAGUAUUUUUUAUUUAUAAUAUUAUUUUUUUAUUUUUAUAAUUAUUUUUUAUCUCAUAAAAAUUUAAUAAAUUAUUUUGAAAUUAUAUUUAUACAAACAAAAUAAUUAUGAACUCUAAUAUUUUAAAAUUAUGCAAAAUUUAAAAUAUUUUACUUUCAAACCGAAGACCAUAGGAUUUAUAAAAUGUUUCACCGAACCCAUAAGCUGAAUUUUUCCAUGUAUGAUAUAAAACAUAAAGACAAGGAUGAGCAACACAAAGACAGAAAAUUAUUAUUUGGUAGUUUGUUGAUUUACUUUAAGGAUUUAGCAGUUUCAAUCAUGUUCCUGUUAUGCUUUGAUUUUAUUUAGGUUCAUCCAUGUAAAACAAAGAAACAAAAACAUUAAUUAGUUGAAAAAUAAUUAAUUGUGUUAUAACAUAAUCCAAACCUUGUAUUAACAAAUAUUCUGUUUUUUAACCUUUUUCAACGAUGAAGUGGGGAGCACCGAUUCAGGGGCCAAGCAACAACUUUGUAUUGGAGGAUCGAUAUAAAAUUAUUUUUUUUGGAGGGACUAAAGUUAAAAUUAUUUGUGUUAAAAUUGUUGAAAUUGAAUUUUUAAUGUUUAAAGUGACUCAAAAUGCAAUUUUUAUGCAUAUAAUUAAAAAGCUACAGAGGAUUAUAUUGAAUAAUUAAAUUUUAAAAGGACUAAAAAGGGUAUUAUACCCUUGAUUAAAAUAUGUCAUAGGUCCUUGUACUUUUCAAAAAUUUGUAAUUUAGUCGAUAUACUUUUAUUUCUAAGGAUUUAGGCCCUCUACAUUUUCAAAUUUUAGAAUUUAAGUUCAAUUGUUAACAUUAGUUUUUUUUCCAAUGUUUUGAAAUAAAGAAAAUAUUCAAUUGGUAGCAAUGUAACUAAAAAAAUAGCAUUAUAAUGAACCUAAAUUUAACAAAAUAAUCUUAAUAGUGUCAACAAUUAAACUUAAAUUUUAAAAUCUAAAAAGUAGAGGGAUUAAAUUCGUAAAAAUAAAAAUAUAGAGACUAAUUUACAAAGAGUAUAAGGAUUUAUGUUAUAUUUUAACCUAUACCCGUUAGCCUAGGGGGGCCAAGACCUCUGUCUACCCCUUUGGCUUUUCCUCUACACCAAUUGAACAUUAGUUUAAUUGACAUUGUUGAUAUUGCAACAACUCUUUUUCUUUAUUUUCUUCAUCUUAUGAAAAAUGUUAAUUUUUAGUUUUGGACAUUUUUAAUAUGCUUAAAUUUGAGAUUUAAUUAUUAUCCUUUAUUUCUAAUUUAAAUUAAGCUUUAUAUUUUUAUAAUUUUACUAGUUAGUUCAAAUAGUUAAUUCAUUAACUUUUCAAUUAAAAUAUUAUGUAGUUAUAUAUUAUUUAAAAGUGGAUUUUUAAAUAGAUUAAAUUCUUAAAAAUAAAAGUUGAAGGAAAAAAAAUAAAAUUUAAACAAAAACGAAAGUUUAGUCAAAUGAUACCUUUAUGGAUCAUAAAAUCUAUCAAUUCAUUUGCCCUCAUAUUCAAAUGCAUCCAAAUCUGGAAAAAAAAGGGUAACAUAUAAACCUCAUUAUAUUAUCUUAAAACAUUAUUAAUGUUUUUGUUAAUUGAGUCAAGAUUUUGGGAAAAGAAAAUGUUUUUACCUUUUGCAUCUAUUGGUCCUUUCAAUUGAUUGCUUAUGGUCAAAGUUUUCAAAUUCAAAAGCUUGUUAAGAGAUGCAAAGACACUAUUAUUGAAGAGAUUGGAAUUUAAAUUAAGCUCUUUUAAGUGCGUCAAUUCCGAUUUUCUACCACCAUCUGCAAAAGAUUUACAUAAGUUCAUCACUGAAAAAAAUUAGCAUAAAAUUUAAUUAUAUAUAAAAACUUAGAUAACUCAUCAAAUAUAAAUACAUACCUUUGGAGGAUUGAAGGCUUUCAAUUUGAUUCUCGCUUAGAUCAAGUUUCUUCAAGUUUAUCAAAUUACUCAAUCCUAUAUAUUUUCACGUCCAAUUCAAAUAAUUAUGUUAAUAAUUUAAUUUUUACCGAAUAUUUGAAUGAGUUUCAUAAAAUAAAAACAAAAAAUUGGUUUGUUAGGCAAUUUUUUUAGGUGUUGUAGAAAUUUUAAGUUCCUCCAAGUUUAUUAUGCUUAAUUGUUUUUCAUCUAUAGUAGGAAGAAGAAUAGUUUCUAAUUAAUAUUAUAGGCUUUGAAUAUUUUAUAAGUUCAUCCCUUUGAAAAUUUAAUUUAUUCAAUAUAUAAAAAUCAUACUUGUACCUUUGUUUGAGAUGCUUUCAAUUCUGUUCCCACUUAAAUCCAAGUAGUUCAAGUCUGUCAAAUUAUUCAAUUCUGAAAUUCAAUCCUAAAUAUUGAUUAGUUAUAUAUAUUCAUGAUAUGAUAAAAUCAAAUAACAUAUUGCAAGUUUGCAACAACUUUUCCUUCAACAUAAAUUGAUUUUAAAGUACAAAAGAAACAAGUAAAAUCAAUCUACCUUGAAUAUGAAGCAGCCUUCCUUCCAACUGAUUACUACUCAAUCUUAAAGUCUUCAAGGAUGAAAGAUUUCUCAUAUCGAAUAGAAUGCUAUUCUUCCAAGAAUUCCCACUUAAAUUAAGAGUUUCCAAUUUAGUGAGUCUUGAAAGCCACUGAAAACCUGAUUUAUAUACUAUAUAAUUAGUUACUACUAAACAUAAUAAAUAAUAAUACUCUAAUUUUACAAUAAAAAUUUACUAAAAUCUGUCAUUGCCUGUUGGAAUAAUAGUCUAUCAGAAAAGUCAUGCACAAAUACUUAUACCUUGGUUUGAGAUGCUUUCAAUGUUGUUGUAACUUAAAUCCAAGUACUUCAAGUUUGUCAAAUUAUUCCAUUCUGAUGAAAUUCAAUCCCAAUGUUGAUCAGUUAUGUUUUCAUGAUAAGAUAAAAGCAAAUGAAAUAUUGCUAUAGCUUUUUCUUAAACCAAAUUGAUUUUAAAGUAAAAGGAAGCAUGUAAAAUAAGUCUACCUUGAAUAUGAAAUAAUAUAUAAAUACUAUAUUUAUACCUUUGUUUGAGAUGCUUUCAAUUUUGUUCCCACUUAAAUCCAAGGACUUCAAGUUUGUCAAAUUAUUCAAUUCUAAAAUUCAAUCCCAAAUGUUGAUCAGUUAUAUUUUCAGGACAAGAUAAAAGCAAAUGACAUAUUGCAAUAACUUUUCCUUAAACCAAAUUGAUUUUAAAGUAAAAAAGAAACAGGUAAAACCAAUCUACCUUGAGUAUGAAUCAACUUUCCUUCCAAAAGAUUGUAUCUCAAACUUAAAGUCUUCAAGGAUGAAAGAUUUCUCAUAUAGACCAUAUUGCUAUUCUUCAAAGAAUUCCCACUUAAAUAAAGAGUUUCCAAUUUAGUGAGCCUUGAAAGCCACUGAAAACCUGAUUUAUAUACCAUAUAAUAAGUUACUGCAAAACAUAAAUAAAUAAUAAUACUCCAUUUUUUAGUUAAUUUGAGUAAGUUCUUGUUAGUCUUUUUUUCAUCUCAACCAUAUGAAAAAUUAUUGAAGCAAAAACUAAGUUACAGGGGAUAAAAGAAUGGAAAAUCACUGUCAAACGUCACAAUACAAAUAAAAACUAACAAUAGACCAAACUUAAUUUACCUCUUGGAUGACUUGAUCCUUCGAACCGGUUGUGUGAUAAAUCUAAAUAUCGGAGAGACGAAAGCUCACUCAAAGAUAAUAGAAUGCUAUCAUUCAAGUGAUUGUAACUUAAGUAAAGGAUCUCUAAAUUACUUAAUGUGGGUGAUAGCUUUCCAAAACCUGUAGGAGUGUUCUUUUAAUUAUAUACAAGUAAUUAAUGACUUUUCUUCAGUAAAAUAAAAUAAAUUAUAAGUAAUUGCAAACUAACAAUGAAUAGAGAAAUAGAAUAAUAAAAUAUGUAAUUAAGGGAAAAUUAAAGGCACGACCUUCAUUUUCUAGGUUACCACCUAUGGCAUUCUCUGACAAAUAAAGACUCUUCAAUUUCUCAAAAGGAAGAAACAUAGAGGCAUUGAGAUACCAAUAAUCCAUGUUGUAUUCCCAUUUUGUAGAAUUAAGGGAGAGUUGUAUGACUCUCCUAGUGAUGGAGUUGCACUUAACUCUUUCCCAUUUACAGCAAUCUGAACCCUUCAGAUCAACCCAACUUUUCAAUGGGUUACCAUAAUUGAAGAAAGGUUUGAGAUGCAAGAGAGCGAUUCUCUCAUGCUCCAAACAAGCAUCAGUAGUACACCACCUACAUCCUUCUAACACCAACAACAGUACUGCCAUCCUAAUAAACCAUAACCAUUUCCACUCCAUCAUCAUCAUCUUUCUGUUUUCCCUUCUCUCUCAGCUAUAUGUUACUUUUUUAACUUCUAUAUGUAUAUAAUCUGCAGAAGCCUAAGCAGGACCUAUGCAUCCCACUAAUUCACUGUAGUAUUAAAAUAACAUAUAAUUAAUUAGUUCCUCAAAAAUUGAAUGAAUCUAGACUUGUGCUGCUCUAACUUAUACGUUAGGAAAUAAAUGUUGACACAAUUUUUUGUUUUAUUUAGAAGUUGUAGUUAACUAUAUUUGCUUGGAAUGAAACUGAAUUCAAAUCAAUCAAAUUAAUUAUAAUAAAAAAUAAAAUAUCAAAAAACUGUUCAAAAUAUGAGUUAUGUAGAAGCCCUGUUCGACAUAUUUUAACUUUUAUUCUUUAUAUAAAAAUGAGAGUUACAAUAAAUAGUAAAAAGAAAAUCUAAUCAAAUGCACUUUUCCAUAACAAAAUUAAUUGCAUUCCUUGUGGAAAAUGAACUCUUGACUUUGCCGACCAUCCUCGACUGAAAUAGGCUGCUAAUUUUAAUUUAGACUGUAGAAAAAAUUUUAACCCAAUUAAUGUCAUUUGAAAUUAAAAUUACUUUAUAAACCUUUUGUUAGCCCUUAAAUUAAUAAACCUUUGUAAAAAUAGUUAUUGUAGCUAAUUGAGUUUUAACUCAAUCGGUAUUGGUAUUGUUGUCAGUAAAAGAAGACGUAAGUUUAAGUGUGCAGAAACGUGUGUUUUCUCCUAUUUAAGGAUUAGGGUGGAUUAUGAAUAAUUCUUUGAAUUGUAUUAACUUAGAAGCUUUGAGAUACUCACAAUUGAAUUAAACAUUCAAUAUAUAUAUUUAUCUUAUUUUUUUUUCUAUUUCCGAUAAAUAAGAAAAGAUCAUUCUUUACGCCACCAUACGAUUUUAGUAUCACAAUCAAAUGAGACUUUUAAAAGUCUUAACACUAUACAAGUAGUUAGUCGACAAAACUUGCACUAAUUUACUCUUUACGCCGAAAUUAUUUACAAAGUGCAAACAACAUUACUUUCACACUAAUUUUUUCCUUCUAUUUAUGUGGGAUAAAUAUCAAAAUUAUAUAUGAAUUUUAAUUUAAUGUGUAAUAUUAUAUAUAAAUUUUGAUUUUGUGUAAUUUUAAAAUGAAAUUUUGAUUUGAUUUAAUUUUCACAAAUCAUUAACAACAUCAUCGAAUUAGUACUAUAUUACAUUGAUAUAUUGCAUGCACAAACAGGUAUACUAAACCAAUAUGAAAAUAAAUAUAUGUAUUCAUUUAUUUAAAUGUGUACAAUUGAAUCAAAAUAAAAGUUUCAUGUAUACAUAUGGAUCACAAUUCAAGUUUCAUACAUAUAAUUGUACCAAAUCAAAGUUCAUAUAUCAAAUUGCACAUUAAGCCAAAAUUUAUGUAUAAAUUUAAUAUUUAUCCCAUUUAUGGGAGAUUAGCUUUCCAAUGGUAUUGUUUUAUUUACAUUAAUCCAAAUAAUUGGAAAUGAUGAAUUAGUUUAACGAAGAUUGUAAUUCUAUUAAUGUUUCUUCUCGAAUUUUUGGUUGCUCUUAUUAGCAUGUUUUAUUAAUUGAUAGAUUUAAAUUCUUGGAAUAUAUUCUAAUUAAUUAGAUAUUUCCUUCCUUCCAAAAGCCUUUCAAAAUAGGUUUAGUUCGACCAAGAUACUCUUGUAGAAAAUUUUAGUUUUGUGGGAAAAAGAAAACUAGAUUUAUUUUUUACUCUAAUUGGUUUUAUAUGCAAGGUAUAUAAACUUUUGUGUCGCUGCAAUUUUUUUCCAACAUAUGUAUGUGAUUUGUGGGGUUUCAAUUUUGAAUUUUUUUUUACAAUUUAAUUAAAUUGUGAAAGUAUUUGAAAGUAUUUGAGUUGAUACAAUGUUUAGAACUACCCCAACACCCACCUAACCCUUAAAUAGGAGGAUAAACACGCUUCAGCACACUCGAACUCACAUCCUCCUACACCGAUGAUAAUACUAAUGCCAACAGAGUUAAGACUCAACCAGCCUUGAAUUUUGAAUUUUACUUCUUACACAUUUUGAAUUUUGAAAUUUUAGUUUUGACCCAAACAGUAGCAGUUAAAUCAAUUUGAUUAAAUUUAAUUACUAGUCCUAUAUUAUGCGUACGAUUAUUGAUUAGUCUAUACUCUCAAAUUGGGCAAUUCUAAGUACCUAUACUUUCCGAAUUUUGAAAUUUCAGUCUUGAUGCAAAUGACAAUUAUUAAUCCAUUAAUUUGAUUUUUAGUGAGUAAUAUGUGAAAAUAACAAACUGGUAUAACAUUACACAUAUGAUAAUAUGUUUAUUCCACCACAUUUGAAAAUAGCCGAAUUUAACAAAUAUUGUUAGUGAGGAUUGGAAAUUAGAGUCUAGCCCCCUACAAUAAUUUAGGUUAUGGAAAUAAUCUUGCAAAUAAUGCUUGAGACAUCAUUAUACAUCAAUUUAUAGUUUUAAUUCUUAUACUUACUCAAUUGGAAUAAAGAUUUAGUUUUUUAUUUUCUUUUAAUACAUUGUCUAGAAUCUUUAUUCCAAUUGAGUAAGUAUAAGAAUUAAAACUAUAAAUUGAUGUAUAAUGAUGUCUCAAGCAUUAAAAAUAACUAACUUCAUUAAAAAAUUCAUUAGUUGGCUCUCUAAGACUUAAAAAUUAAAAUUAUGUGGUUAUUAAAAAAGAAUUAUUUUUAUUAAAUUAUUAUUUAAAAUAAAUUUAUCUCAUCAUAAUGAUAUGAAUUUUUUUUCUUUAAAAAAUCCACAUUAACCGACUAAUAGAAUUGUAUAAAGCUGCCACCAAUCUCUUGGCAUGAUGGCAAAAGAUUCAGAGGCAAGCCAGAAAGUUUUUUGAGAGGAGUGAAUAAAGUUAUAUCUUUUUAUUAUAGUAAAAAUGAAAUUUUAUUAUUUUAAUAAUUUAUAUUUUUAUAAUUUUUAAAAGAUUAAAUAAAAUUUUUUUUUAUUUUUGAGGGGAUAAAGUAUAAGUUUAUCAUAUACUAAUUUAAAAAUUUUAAAAUUAUAAAAAGACUAAAGAUGAAAUUUUUCAUUUUAGGGAGAUGGGGCCCUGCCAGGUCCCUUGACUUCGCCUUGAUAAAAGUAUUAUGUUGCAAGUAUAAAGUUUGAGUUUAAUCUCGAACAAUCUCAUUUCUUAUCCCUAAUUAUAAAAUAAUAAAAUAAAUAGAGCAAUUGAUGUGAGGAGGCAAGUGUAAUAGGUCAAUUUUGACCUGGGCCAGAUUUCAAAACAAAACCCAAAUUAAAUAAUAAAAGAGUCCAAAAUAAUUAAAACAAUCCAUCCAUUUUACAAACAAACCCAAAUUAGCAGCCCAAAUACAAAUUAAAACUCAAUAACUCAAAACUAACCCUAGCCCAAUUAGCUCAACACUUAAACACAACAAAAAAACCCCUAGCCCCCUAAGCCUCCAACGCCGCAUGACCACCUGUGCCGCACGCCGCCGCCGCUCAAGGCUUGCCUAUCACCGACCAUCCACGCGUCUAACACUUGCAAAACCAAGGCAACAUGCAACAACAAAGGCCAAAUAGAGGAAACAACAAGGAAACAGACAAAAAAGGAAGAAACAAACAGUUUUGAUUUGGCUACAAAAGCCCGAAUCUCACCCUUGUAAUUUUUUCAAGAACAUUAGAAAAUAAAAAAACAAAAACAACACUUUCAAGGUGAAUUUCUACUUUUAUUUCUGUUUUAAAUACCUAUUUGAUUCUAUAUUCAUAUUUUUAUUUGAUUUUAUAUAUAUAAUAAAAUAAUAAAAUAAAAAAAGGAAGAAAGGGCUCACCGGAGACGCCCCGUGACCGCGCCGUCGGAGGGCUCUUCUCCAUUGUUGCCAUCGAAUCCGAGAGAGGGUCGGGAGUACUCCUCUUUUGUUUUUUUUGGGUCGAGAGGGCUGGGCUUCCAAGGGAGCUGUGAAACGGGGGCUAAAAACGACCUUUUGCGCAACGCCGGCCACCGGCCACAGGCCACAGCGGCGCUGCGGCGGCAACCCUGGCCUGCCAAGGGGUGGGCUGAGAGAGAGACCAAGAGAGACUGAGAGAGUUCUCUAUUUUUUUAGAAAAAUAAAAGUUGAACUGUUUUUUUCUUUUUCUUUUUGCUAUUUAUAUAGGGUAUAAAACUGCGUCGUUUUGGACUUAAGCAUCAGUGGCCAAAAUGACGCUGUUUUGCAUCAGACCCGAAAGCCAACCCGAAUGCAGUCAGGAUCCUAGCGCAUUUUAGCUUUGAGGAGCUAUUUGCAUAUUCAACCCUUCCGCUUUUGCAAUAUAGUGCAAUUUGGUCCUCGUUGUUUUUAUAUUUUGGCCGCAUAAUUUUCUGAUUGUUUUACUUUGGUUCGAGCUAAAACGCUACGCAUGGGGGCUGGGAAUAUUUGCCAGUCGGUCCCUCAUUCCUUAAGCACGCUCUAUUUCAGUCCCUAGGCUUUUUUUAUUUAUUUGCAAUUUGAACCCCAAAUUUUGGGUCGAUUUCAGUAUCAUCCUUAGUCCAUUUAAUUUAUUUGUUCAUUAUUAUUUUUUAUUUAAAAAGCUCUUUUAUUAUUAUUUGUUUUAAGUUUUUUAUUUAUCAUUUACUUUAAACUGUUUUACAUACUAUUUAUUUAAAAUUUUUUUAUAUUAUUCAUUUUAAACCAUUAUAUGUACAUUAUCUUUUAAAUUCUUAUAUACAUAUAUAUAUGUCGAAACCGUUUUUUUGAAAACAAAAAUUUUUAGUUUCGACUUAAAAAUAAAAACUGGAGUCGCCACCGAUCCUUGAUUGAGGUGUGACCGGCUCACCUUAAAAACAAUUUUGGUCUACGAGAUUUGAGAAAAUGAGUCCGGGAGUCAGUUACGCACGAGGAAGGAUUAGCACCCUCGUAACACCCAAAAUCGGUACCAAAUUGAUUCUUUAAUGCCUUGGUGUCGAAAAUUUGAAAAGAUUUUAAAAGGAAACUUUUUAUUUCAUGAAUGAAUCAAAAUAAUAAGACAUUCUUAUUUCAAAGAAAUAAAACACCACACCCAGUGAGUUAGGGCACAAUAUUUUUAAAUCUUCAAAAUACCCGAAUAUUACCUUUUGCUUUUGAAAAUUCUUAUUUCGAGAAGUCAAAAUAUCAGGACCAGUAAGUUAGGACCCAACAUUUUUGAACUCCCAAGAAUAAGCUUUUAUUUAAAAUUUACGAAUUUAUUGCAAAACAAAUACUUGGCUUUCUAAAUUCAUCGAAAAAUAAUCACGAUCCAGUCAGUUAGGACACGAUCUUUCUCGAGAAUCAUGAAUGCCAAAUAUUUUGGAAAUUUGUAAAAUAUGAUGAUUUUAAUGCCUUGACGAAGCCAAUAUAUAUUUUCUUUAAAAGCAUGAUAAAAUGUUAAUGCAUAACAUGAAACCAAUACUUUAAUUUAAAUCGUAUGUAUAUAUGUAUUUGCAAAUCGCGAAAAUAAAAUAAAUAUAAAUGUAUGGAUAUGUCAUGAAAAUAUGUGUGCAUUUAAAUAUAUGUAUAUAUGUACAAUAUGUAUAAAACCAUGAAAUAUAUAAAAUAAUAAAGAAAAAUGUGUACGUAUAUGUAACAGAGAAUGCAUGUAUGCUUUAAAUUAUAAGAUAUAGGAAAUAAAUAUGUUACAACAAUGUAUAUCUAUAUAAAAUAUAAAUGUAUAUAAAAGUAAGUAAAAGUUAUGCAAGUAGAAUAAUAAAAAAUAUAUAUAUGUAAGGUGCAUGGGUUUAUAAAAAUUAUUUUUAAGAAAAAAUGUAUGCAUAUAUUAUUGUAGAGAAUAAGCAUAUGUAUAUAUAUAGUAAUGGUAAUAAUAAUAAUGAUAAUAAUAAUAAAAAUGAUAAUAGUAAUAAUAAUAAUAAUAAUAAUAAUAAUAAUAAUAUAUGACAUAAUUAAUAAUAUAAAAAACAACAAAUUAAGGAUUAAAUUGGAAAUAAGCGAAGUUUUGAAACUAAAUUUAAAGAUGGGAAUUAAAUAAGGACCAAAUUAAGAUGCGCGCAACAGUAGGAGGAUCGAAAAGAUAAUUUGCCCAAACCUCCCAAAUGCUGCGCAGCAACAUGGACCAAAUUGAAACAGUAUUAAAACAUAUGGCCUAAUUUAAAAAAAUAAAAAGACGGAUUUAAACACCCCUCAUAAAACAGAGGACCAAAUGUGAAAUUGUCCCCUUUCACAGAAAUGCGCGGAUCCUUCCCCGGGUCGGGUCACCGCACGGGUCGUAGGGCUGAAACGGCGCCGUUUUUGUGCUUACCCUUCGGCCCAAAACAGUGCCGUUUUCGGUAAGCUAUAAAUACAAUGUUUUUUUUUAAAAAACUCAUUGUUCUUUCUAUUUCAAAAAAAAAACAAAAAAAAAAUUUCCUUUUCUCUCAAGCAGGCCCAAAAUCCGGCCAAACUCCGGCGAGUGGCCACUGCGCCGUUCACGGCGGCGGGGAGUAAAAAAUCUCGCCUUUUUUAAACUGUUUUUAGAUCCCGUUCAAUAGUCAAACUGCUUUGGCUCAAAAGGAUGACCCUUGGCCCCUUCUCCUCUCGGAUCCGACGUUCUUGAAGGAGGAGAGCCCUCCGACGGUGAACCCGCAAGGCAAAUCAGGUAAGCCCGUUCCCCUUUUACUUCUUAUUUAUUAUGCGUAAAAAAAACAAACAGAAAGAGCAAACAAGGAAAAAAAAAACCGAAUCUAAGGGAAAAAAAAACCUCCGUUUUGUAUUUUAUUUUUUCAAAUCUUUUUUCUUCGUAUUUUCCUCUCUAUUUUCGUAUGUCUUUACACUCAAGACCCCCCUUUUCAGAUCUCCCCCCACGGCUUUUAAAUAGUCGAAAAUAACAACAAAAUAAGCAACAAAAUCAUAUCUCCCUUCAAUAUUGGUUGCGAUUUUUGCUACUACUCUGCUAUUGCUGCGCCAUAUGCUUCUUUUUCGCAGGUGUGGUGGCUGUUGAGUGCGUGGGAGCGACAAGCGCGAUGUGCGGCGCUUGCGGAGGGGUGGUGCGCAGGGUGAUGCGGCGCUGAAGCAGAAAGGGCUAGGGUUUCUGGACUGGGCUAGGGUUAAUGUAAUUGGGCUAAAUUUUUGGGUUUAGUCUGUAGAUGGGUAAUUGGGUCUGCUAUGUUUUUAUUUUAUAUGGGCCCGGGCAGAAAAAUUGGGUAUUACAAUAUAUAUUAAAAAAAACUGUUGUAUGUUUCUUAUUUAUUUAUUUUAAACUGUUAUUAUUAUUCAUUUUAAGUUUUUAUAUACUGUUUAUUUGAAGCCUUUUAUUAUUUAUUUUUGAAUUGUUCUUAUAAAUUAUUUAAUUUAAAUUAUUAUUCUUUGAAUUUUUUUUUUUGCAUAUUAUUUUGUUUUGUUUUCUUUGAUUGUUAAUAUUAGUAUAAAAAAUGAUAUACAUUGUGUGACUAUUACCAUCAUGUGUACUAUAAUUAGUUUCUUCGUGUUUUCAUAUUAUUAUCACUCAUUAACAUAUAUAACAUUUUUUCAUAAAUUGUUAUUUUAUGUUCUAUGUUAUCAUUCCAUUUCACUUCAUCACUUUGAAAUUAAGUUGCCUUCAAUUUGUGUUUACCCAUAAUAAACCGUUCUAUUUUGUCACAAAUAAAACAAAUGCACCUCGUUCAAGCAUUGUACUCGCAAUUAUUCAAAAAAGAGAAAAAUUUUAAAAUAAGGCAAUAUUUCGCAUUUUGGAGAUUCGAGAAAUUGUACCCUAACUUACGAGGUUUCAAUUUUCUCAUUGAACCUAAAUAGCAAAAUAUCUUUCUAAUUUUCAAAAUUUACGAAUUCCAAUAAAGUUAAAGGCUAGCUUAUUCUCGAGGGUUUCAAGUGUCGUGUCCUAACUUACGGGAUGUGACAUUUAUUAUCUUGAGACGAGAGGAUCUUUGGCAUUUGUUUAGAUUUAUUCAAGCAAAUUCUUUUAAAUUGAAAUAGCGUUAACAAAAGGGGGAUUGUGUUUUAAAUUCUUUCGAAGUUUUUCAAUUUUUAAUAUUUAGACAUUAAUUAAUCAAUUGGGUACCAAUUUUGGGCGUGACGAGGAUGCUAAUCUUUCCUCGCAUGUAACUGAUUCCCGAAUCCGUUUUCUCAAAUUUCGCAGACCAAAAUCACUGUUUUGAUAAAUUAAAAUAUUUUAUUAAAACAACUAAAUUAUGAGAUGACCUAAUCACACCUCGUAAAAAAAAUAUUGGUGGCGACUCCCGUUUUAAUUUCCGUUUUCAAACCAACACCGACCCUUUUAAAAAAAAUGGUUUCAAUAUUAAGUUAUAAGUGAAUGAAUUAAAAAUAUGUGAAAAGUGUAAAUAAAGACUCUUCAAUCUCAUUUCCUCUAAUGCUCUUUUUUUUUUUAAUCAGAGAAGUUGUAAUUGACUGGAAUGAAAUUAAUAAUCGCCUUAUUAUUUCACUUUUUUUCUUCAUAUGUUUGGCGUCAGUACAGGUUGGACUGAUUUUAAAGUUGAAGUAAAACGAUAUCAAACAAAAACCAUUCUGGUUUUUAAAAUUAUGAGUCCAAAUCAAUCCAAUUAGUUUAACUAGAUUUUAAUGUCUUAUGUGUUAUGAUGAUGAAGCAAGUUGAUCAAGGGACUUGCUUCAUCUUUCAAAAUAUGAGUUGCUUAAGAGCCCUGUUUGACGCUUUUUUUUUUCUUAAAUUACAAACGAAAAGGUAUUUUUUAAAAAAAAAUUAACUUAAUGAAUUUUUUAUAGAUAUAAAUUUCCUGCAAAGUUAUUCUUUUUGAAAAAAUAUUUUUUUAAUUUUUUAUAUACCUUUUAAAUAGUUAAUGAAAAUAAGAGUUUUCAUUUCGAAAUGCAAAAGCCAAAAACAGUUUUUGACUACAAAAGCUGUGUGUUCUUCAUCACUUCUGCAGUGGAAAAACACUUCUGCAGUGUAAAAACACUUUUAACCCAAAACGGGUUUUCACCUAAGUAGAGAAUCCACCCUAAAAUUGUAAAUAGAAAAAGGAAGGACCAAACAUUGUUUCUACCCUGUUUUUGUCUCCUCUUUGAAAAUACUUUCCAAAAAGUUUUAUCAUUUUCUUUUUAUUAAGUUUUCUGUUGGAUCUUAUAGUCAAAUUCCUUUACAUCAUGUACGUUAAUUUGCUUCGCUCUGAUAAAUGUUAGAUAUAGGGUUAUCAGCUAAUUAGGAAAGACUGAUGAUAGUCACCCCUUACAUCCAAAAGCAAAGCUUUUUUCACAUGUGUAUGUAAGGUUGCUAAGCAAAUCUGAUGAGCCUUCACUGAUGUUUUAAGGUUUAAGUUGAUGUUCCUUUUCGGCAAAGAACAUUAUCGAGAUCACAGAAUUUUGAUCGCCUUUUGCUUGUUAUGUUAUUCGUUCUUAAACGAUUGCAUAAUCUUUACUGUGAUUGCAGGAUAUAGAGGAACUUUUGAAUUUCAUCGGUGUAACGAGUUUAGGACCUUGGCAUGUUCUUGCAAAUUUGAAGGAGCUUCUAAGGUCUGUCCAGUCUUCAGAAUAUAUAGAUACCUGAAUUAAUUUUGAUUUUGUAGGAUCAACUAUAAUUAGCUACUUAUUACAGUAUGAAUAGACAACCUGACCUUCUUCACACACGACACAUGUGCGGAUUUUUUUACCAAUCCCAUUUCAUUAAAGAAAAAAAAGAGCUUUAAAAAAGGAUCACACUUUUUUGUUGUUUACAGAAUCAUAAUGUUAAUUAGAGUGGAAUAUUUCAGAUUUCUGAUAAUGAGUAUAUUAUUGAGUAUUGCAGUAAAAAAAUGGGUGUGCAACUUAUUUGAACUUUGAAUGUAUGUUUUGUUGGUGAGAAUAUAAAGUUGAUAAAGAUUUGGUAAAUAGAAUAAAAUACUAUUUUUUAUUAGAAAAAAUAUUUGGUACACUGCCAAUCGAGUUAUAAUUAUCAUGACACAAUAUUAAGGGUAAUUAAAACAUGUCAUAUUACAAAUAAUAAAAUUAUAAUGACUCAAAUCUGCAAACAUGUCAAAAUUUACGUACAAUGAAUUAUUAACAUGUAAAUGUAUAAUAUGGUAUGCAAAAAUAAGAUCAUUGCUUGUUUUUUAAAUUGAAUUGUUAUAACAUAUUGUACAAAAUACAUUGUGAAUUAAGGCAUAAUAUGAACAUGAUAUCAAAAUAUUAAAUUUUUUUAAAAUUCGAUGAUAUGAAUAAUUAUGUAAAAUAUAACAUGAUACAAAAUAACUUGAAAGGAAAAGAGGAAUAAAGAAUUGCAUUGUUUUUGAGGUUUUAAAAUAUUUCAGUUUUAGAUUCAUUUUUCUAGUAUGUUUGGUUUAAUUUUACAUUAGAUUUCCUUUACAGUAUGCACUAGUGAACGCUUAGUAUUCAAUUUAAUUUAAUUCAAAGAGAUAUUGCAUAUACAUAAUAAUGGAUUAUGAUUUUACAUUAAAUUUCAUAGAAGAAAAAAGAAAUAGAUGGUUGAAAAUGAUAAAAUCAUAAGAUAAAAGAGCUUUUAUUUAAAAUUCAAAAAUCAACAAAAUAUUCAUUAUCGCUCAACUUAGCAUAAUUAAACAUUUAGGUGUGAAAAUCAAAUUACAAUUUGAGUAGCUAAACACAUUGCUUGAAAAUGUGAUAAGUAAGAAAAUUGCCCACAUUUGAGUAGCGACAGGUGGUGAUGCAUUUCCCAAUGAGAGAAAACCAAACUCUUCGCCAGUAUGGAUUUAUGUAGAGGACAACAAAAAUUGUCAACAACACAACUACAUAAGAAACCAAAAAGCUCACACAAAAAUCAUAAGUACCUAUCAAACCAUCUUCUCCUUUAUCUUCUGAUACAGUUGAUAUCGUUGAUGGUGAAUCGGUUUUGGAACAACUUUUAUGCAAUAUAGCUCCACAAAGAAAAAGAUUUCCCUCAUAACUGUUUUCAAUAAAGGUCCCAAAUUGAGCUUUUGGUUCGGGAAUACUACCUGACAAGUUGUUGUAUGCCACGCUGAAAACCUCCAAAGAGUUCAACUCUACCAACUGGUUGGGGAUUUCACCACUCAAAUUGUUGUAAGAAAGGUCCAAACUCUCAAUUUGAUGAAGUUUUGCUAAUGAUGAGGGUAUAACUCCUGUCAACUUAUUAUGCGACAAGUUUAAAGAAUAGAUUUCACUUAAGUUCCCUAAUUCUGGUGGGAUAUGACCAGUUAAGUUGUUGCAAGAUAAAUCAAUCCCGGUCAUAUAUAUAAGGAUGUUUCCCUCGUACGAUAAGAACCCACUCUUUGUUGUGAACUCUAUUACUUCUUCUAAGUAGCCUUCAGGAUAGUAAUAAUUUCCAAGAGCUCCCAAUGUUUUCGCUAAUCCAUCCCCUGUUAACCUUGGUCUAAUUUUCGAAUCAGUUAGAAUCUUAUUUGUUUCCGUUGAAAGGGUUAAAUUUCCCAAACAAGAAGGUAUAAUACCAGAAAACAUAUUUUGAGAAAGAUCUAUGAUGUUUAAAGAAUCCAACUUGCAUAACUGAACUGGAACUUCACCAUGAAAAUGAUUAUCUUUCAAGAGAAGAACACUCAAUGAAGAAAGUGUGCCAAUCCAUUUUGGAAUACUACCAGUCAAAUUGUUUCCUCUAAGAUCUAACGUAACCAGUGAAGAGAUAUUAUAAAAAGCGAUUGGUAGUGGGCCACUUAGUCUACUCCCGUGCAGGUGGACAUGCUUUAUGUUUAGGGUAUUAAAGCAGGACGGUAUAGAGCCAAAUAAAUUGUUUUCAGAGAGAUCCAAAAAUUCCAAGCGAUUCAAGUUGCAAAAUUCCAUUGGAAUAGAACCCUCGAAACCAUUUUGGGACAAAGCUAAUCUCUCCAAAAAUGACACAUUCCCCAUCCAUCUUGGGAGGUUUCCAUAAAACUUGUUAUUUCUGAGAUUGAUUUCCCUUAGUGAAGUUGGAAACUCAGAAAUAGAGACAUCAACAUUUGCCAUCUCCCCAGAAAAAUUAUUUCCAUCCAAAUAUAAUUUUGACAGCCCAUUUGCAUUGAGAAUCACAGGAAGCACAUGUCCACUGAGGUUGUUGUUUGAUAGUCUCAAAAUGGUCAACGAGUUUUUUGUGAUUAACUCUUCAGGUACUCUUCCAGACAAUUGAUUGUUUGAUAAAUCUAAAAUCGAUAAAUCCUUCAUGCCACUCAAACAAGGAGGGAUAUCACCUUCGAAGGCAUUCUUGGAUAAGAACAAUAGGCUCAAAUGUGGAAAAGGUGAACACACGUUGGCUGGAAUCUGACCUUGCAAUUUGUUUUGGGAUAUGUCAAUUAAAGACACUUUAGAGUUAGGAGCUGACGGUAAUGAGAGAGGACCGGUAAAUGAAUUACCCUUCAAGAUGAGAUCUUCUAACUUUGUGUUGUUUUCUAACAACCAAGUUGGGACUGUUCCGCUGAAAUUGUUAUGAGAAAGAUCCACAUAUCUCAAGUCAUAUUGGUAGUAAAGGAAGGUAGGAAGCUUACAACUGAGCUGUUGAGAUGUUAUGCACUUUGGCAAACUAAUGACUUCCAAUUGGAACUUUGGGAUUGAGGUAUAAAAGGAAGGUUCCGUUACCAUCUUGUUUUCAUUACUCAAGAGGGCUUUGAGGUUUGAAAGGUUUGCAAAUGGUGCGAAUGACAACGGAAUUUGAAAAUGGUUUCCUGAAAUAUCUAACUCACGAAGAGAUGUCAAGUUACUGAAACAAUGAGGAAGCNNNNNNNNNNNNNNNNNNNNNNNNNNNNNNNNNNNNNNNNNNNNNNNNNNNNNNNNNNNNNNNNNNNNNNNNNNNNNNNNNNNNNNNNNNNNNNNNNNNNNNNNNNNNNNNNNNNNNNNNNNNNNNNNNNNNNNNNNNNNNNNNNNNNNNNNNNNNNNNNNNNNNNNNNNNNNNNNNNNNNNNNNNNNNNNNNNNNNNNNNNNNNNNNNNNNNNNNNNNNNNNNNNNNNNNNNNNNNNNNNNNNNNNNNNNNNNNNNNNNNNNNNNNNNNNNNNNNNNNNNNNNNNNNNNNNNNNNNNNNNNNNNNNNNNNNNNNNNNNNNNNNNUAAUUCUAAAGGAUGAGAAGAGGUAUUAGAUGUUAAUCAAACGUAAUCUGUUUUGGAAAAGAAAAUCAUGUUCAGAUAAUGGUAUUGUAGAUAAAAGGUUUUAACUGAUGAGAAAGCCUCCACUAAAUUUUGUAAUGGAAUGCUUCCAUCGGUGAAAACGUGAUCAAGAGACACAACUUUCAAAUUUCUCAAUCCCUUAUUUUCUGUAAGUGAAAGAAAUAUAUAAAUAUUUGUUUUCAUGAAUAAGAUAAAAGUUUAAUAGAGAAUGUCCAAAUCUUAACAUAACUAUUCAUUCAUUUUAUUAAUUAAUAAACUAAUCCUUUUUAGUCAUUCUAAGAUANNNNNNNNNNNNNNNNNNNNNNNNNNNNNNNNNNNNNNNNNNNNNNNNNNNNNNNNNNNNNNNNNNNNNNNNNNNNNNNNNNNNNNNNNNNNNNNNNNNNCAAGUUCUUUUAUUUUAAAAUGUCAACACCAAUAAAUUAUUUUUUUUUUAAAAAUAACAAUGUUAACAAUUGAACUUGGAUUUUAAAAUUUAAAAAAUAGAGGGAUCAAAUUCCCGAAAAUAAAAAUACAAGAAUUAAAUUACAAAUUUGUAAAGAGUACAUAGACCUAUCACAUUUUUUUUAACCAAAAAAUUAACAACAUGUGCAUUUUGAAAUAUAUAAAAAGUUAAAAAAAAAAGAAGUUUAAGCACCUCAAAAUGUAUGUUUAAAUUUCAUAAAAUUGAAGUUUUUUUUAUAUUAUUCAAAAUUGACAUUUAUUUAUUUUUGGCCAAAAAAUGCCAUUUAUUUAACUCUAAUAUGUAUUAAAAAUAUAUGAAAUUAAAAUAUAGUUAUAUUACAUAUUUUCCCAUAAAUAUAUGUAUUUUUACUUAUAAUAUCAUUUUUAUUGUUAUAAUUAUUUUUUAUCUCAUAAAAAUUCAAUAAAUUAUUUAAAAAAUAUAGUUAUACAAACAAAAUAAUUAUAAACAUUAAUAUUUAAAAAUUAUGAAAAAUUUAAAGAAUUUUAGUUUCAAACCAAAGUCGAAACACAUUAUAAUGGAGGGUUUAGAAAAUGUUUCACCAAACCCAUAUUUUACUUUCAAGUAUGAUAUGAUAUAACUUUAUUAAUAUUUAUGACAAUAACUGUUAUUAUAAUAUCUGAGAUCAAAACUAAAUUUCUAAAUUAAAAAAGAAAAGGAAAUUUAAUUAAAUGAUACCUUGGUGGAUCACAAAAUCUCUCAAUUCAUUAUAGCUCAUAUCUAGUUCCCUUAAUUUGAUAAAUGCUUCCAAAUCUAGGAAAACAAAAACAACAAAUUAAUCAACUCCAUUAUAUUCUCUUAAAACAUUAUUAUAUUCUUGUUAAAAAACUAAUAUUUUUACCUUUCAUAUCUAUUGAUCCUUUCAAUUGAUUGACCCUUAUGCUCAACGAUUUCAAAUUUGAAAGCUUGUUAAGGGAUGCAAAUGCACUAGUAUUGAAGAGAUUUCCAUCUAAAUUAAGCUCUUCCAAGUGGGUCAACUCCAAUUUUCUACCACCAUCUACAAAAGAUUUAUAUAAUUUCAUCACUGAAAUGAAUUGGCAUAAAAUUUAAUUAUAUGUAAGAAUUUAGGUAAUUGGUUAAAUAUAAAUGCAUACCUUUUAAGGAUUGAAAGCUUUCAAUUUGAUUCCAACUUAAAUCGAGUUUCUUCAAAUUCGUUAAAUUACUCAAUCCUAUACAUAUCCUCGUCCAAUUUAAAAAAUCAUUAUGUUAAUAAUUUUAAUUUCUACUUAAUAUUUUAAUGAAAUAAAAAUGAAAAAAAAGUAAAUCUAAAACUUGGAAUGAAGAUGAAAAUCCUCAAACGUGAAAUGUGAAUGUUCAAAAUUGAAACAAUUAAUUUUAAAAGGUUCUAGAAAGAAUUAUCAAGAAAAACAAAGUUAUAGCUUUAGUACCUUUAGUAUCUAAUGAACCUUGCAAAUGGUUGUAGUACAAAGUCAAAGACUUUAGGCUUGAAAGCCCUUGAAGAAAGGAAAUUGUGUUGUUCCGAAAGAGAUUAUCACUCAAGUCAAGUUCCUCCAAGUUUGUUAACCUCAGUAGUGUUCCAUCUAUCAUUGGAAGAAAAUAAUGAGUAUAGUUAAUAUCAUUCAAGAUAUAAAUAGUUAGGAAAAAUGAUUGUUUGAGAAGGAAGAGCCAGUUUACAAGCUUUCCCAUGAAUUGAUAACUACAUUUUACAAGUAAAACUUAAUUGAUUCAAUAUAUAAAUACUUUGUUUGAGAUACCUUCCUACUUUAAUUACUCAAUCCCAAAUAUUGAUUACUUAUAUAUAUUCAUGAUAUGAUAAAAGCAAAUGACUUAUUAAUUGCAACAGCUUUUCCUUCAACAUGAAUUUAAUGCUAUUCUUCAAAUAAUUCCAACUUAUAUCAAUAAUCUCCAAUCUAAUGAGCCAUUGAAAACCUGAUUUAUAUAUUAUAUAAUUAGUUACUACAAAACAUAAAUAAAUAAUAAUACUCCAUUUUUGCAAUAAAAAUUCACUAAAGAAAAUACAUUUGAAGUUUGUCAUUGCCUUUUGGAAUAAGAGUCGGUCAAGAAAGUUUGUUAGGCUUAAUUGUGUUCCAUCUAUGAUUGGAAGAAAAUAAUGAGUAUAGUUAAUAUCAUUCAAGAUAUAAAUAGUUAGGAAAAAUGAUUGUUUGAGAAGGAAGAGCCAAUUUAGAAGCUUUCCCAUGAAUUGAUAACUACAUUUUACAAGUAAAACUAAUUGAUUCAAUAUAUAAAUACUUUGUUUGAGAUACCUUCCUUCUUAAUUUAUUCAAUUUUGAAAUUCAAUCCCAAAUAUUGAUUACUUAUAUAUAUUCAUGAUAUGACAUAUUGCAACAACUUUUCCUUCAACAUGAAUUUAUUUUAAAGAAUGCUAUUCUUCAAACAAAUCCAACUUAUAUCAAUAAUUUCCAAUUUAAUGAGCCACUGAAAACCUGAUUUAUAUAUUAUAUUAUUAGUUACUACAAAACAUAAAUAAAUAACAAUACUCCAUUUUUGCAAUAAAAAUUCACUAAAGAAAAUACAUUUGAAGUUUGUCAUUGUCUUUUGAAAUAAGAGUCGGUCAAGAAAGUUAUGCACAAAUACUUAUACCUUUGUUUGAGAUGCUUUCAAUGUUGUUGUCACUUAAAUCCAAGUACUUCAAGUUUGUCAAAUUAUUCAAUCCUGAAAUUCAAUCCCAAAUAUUGAUUAGCUAUAUAUAUUCAUCGUAUGAUAAAAUCAAACUUGAACAUACAUUGAUUUUUAAAGUUAAAAAGAAACAGGCAAAAUCAGUCUACCGUGAAUAUGAUCCAGCCUUCCUUUCAACUGAUUAGCGCUCAAUCUUAAAGUCUUCAAGGAUGAAAUAUUUCUCAUAUGGAACAGAAUGGUAUUCUUCAAAGAAUUCCCACUUAAAUCAAGAGUUUCCAAGUUAUUGAGUCUUGAAAGCAAUUGAAAACCUGAUAUAUAUAUAUAUGUAUAUAUAAUUACUUGUUAAUUGUUUUCUUCUUUCUUCGCUAUAUGAAAAUUUUACUAAAGCAAAAGUGGAAUUACAACGAAUAAAAAGAAUGGAAAACUUGGUACCAAGCCUAGAAGACCAUCCUCAAACUCCACUAUACAAAUAAAAACUAACAUCAGACCAAACUUAAUUUACCUCUUAGAUGACUUGAUCCUUCAAAUUUGUUGAUUGAUAGAUCUAAAUACCGGAGAGAUGAAAGCUCACUCAAAGAUAACAAAAUGCUAUCAUUCAAGUAAUUUUCACUUAAGUCAAGGAUCUCCAAAUUACUCAAUGUGGAUGAUAGUUUUCCAAAGCCUGUAGAAGUGUUCUUUUAAAUAUAUACAAGUUAGUGACUUUUCUUUAAUAAAAUAAAAUAAAAUAUAAGUAAUUGUAAAUUAACAAUGGUGAGAAUAGUGGAAUAGUAAAAGAUGUAAUUAAGGAAAAAUUAAAGGCACGACCUUCAUUUUCAAGGCUACCACCUAUGACAUUUCCCGACAAAUAAAGUCUCUUCAAUUCCUCAAAAGGAAGAAACAUAGAGGCAUUGAGAUACCAGGCAUUGAGAUUCCUAUUAUCCAUGACGUAUUCCAUAUUGUCUUCCCAUUUUGUAGAAUUAAGGGAGAGUUGUAUGAGUCUCCUAGUGGUGGUGUUACACUCAACUCUUUCCCAUUUACAACAAUCUGAACCCUUCACCUCAACCCAACUUUGCAAUUGAUUACGAUAAUUGAAGAAAGGCUUGAGAUGCAAGAGAGCGAUUCUCUCAUGCUCCAAACAAGCAUCAGUAGUACACCAACUGCAUCUUUCUAACACCAACAACAUUACUGCCAUCCUAAUAAACCAUAAGUACCAUUUCCACUCCAUCAUCAUCAUCAUCUUUCUGUUUUCACUUCUCUCUCAGCUAUAUGUUACUUUUUCUUAACUUCUAUAUGUAUAUAAUCUAAAGAAGCCUAAGCUUCUUUUUUAUAUACAAGCAGAACAUUUUGCAUCCCACUAAUUUACUAUAAUAUAAAAAUAAUAUAUAAUUAAUUAAUUCCUCAAAAAUUGGAUCAAUCUAGGCUUCUUAUUUACGUAAAUUCCUUAUUGCAAAACCUCUUGGUAGAAAUUCGUUAGGAAAGGAUGAAUGGACCACAAGAAUGCUUAUCAACUCUUGACUUUGGCGUCCAAUGCUAAAUUUAUUUUAAAAUUUCUUCAUGGAGACAAGAUGGGAUGACAAGAAUGAUAAGUUUUAAGUCAUUUAAGUUUACACAAUUUUAAUCACUCAUAAAAACAAGUAUUGACAUUCUAUUAAAGAAUUUAAACAUGGCUUAACGUUGAUUUUAAAUCUAAUGUUGAUGUUAAUCUUGAAAAAAGAAUGGCCAAAAAAAUAUGAAAAGUGAGAGGUGGACAUAAAAUAGUGUAGUUGGGGUUAUAAAAUUCUUCAUGUAGACAUUAUAUUUUUUUUAUGCCUUUUUUACACUUAUAUAAAGUUAGUCUUGACUUCGCUUUAUUAAUAGAAAUUUUAGGUCUUCAUUUUUUGUUUUAUUCAUGGGCAUAAUAUUUUUUUAUUUUUAUUUUAUGGUCUAUGAUCGAGGUUUAUGACUAUCCCCUUUCAACAACGUCGUCUCAACUGUUCAAACAUACCCUUGCAGGUAAAAUAAUACUUUUUAAAAUCACAAAUAUUUAAGAUAAUACAUUGCAGCUAUAUAAAUGCUUUCUUGUUUAAGAUACUAAUAAAGUAAUUAACAAAGUAAUUAUUAUACCUAUAAUAAUUCAAAAUGCCACUUGUUAUCUAAUGAAGUAUAGGGGUGCAAAUGAGACAUCCGUACUCGCAAGCUAUUCGAAUUUGGCUCAAAAACUUUUGAAAUUGAUUUGGUAAUUAUUGAGCCGAGCUAUAGGUCGAUCCAGAUUCGAGCUUAGUAAUACUUAACUCGAGUAUUUUGAGAGCCUUAUUGAACUUUUUAUAUUUUUAUAUUAUUAGAUUACAUUAUUGCUAUUAAUAUAUAUUAUUAACUCUAAGUUUAAUUAUAGAGGCGAGCUCAAACUCGAGUACAAAAAUUGAUAAACAUAUUUAAUUUCGAGCUUAAAAAUAUAUGUUCGAUCGAGCAUCAAGCUUUGAAUUUCAAAUUAAACUUGAGUUUAACAGUAUUGAGUUCAAAUAGAUUCAAUUACACCCUACAAUAAAAUAUACCAACAAAACCUACAUUCCAUCUUUGCUAUAAAUUUUAUGUAUGUGUGUGUUUAACGUGAGUUCCAUCUAUGUCCAACUUGAUGACGAUGAAAGUUCCUAUGGUGUAAAAAGUUUUAAUUAUGUGGAAAAAUAAGGUCUUCUCUUCACACGUUUAAUAUGCUUACUUGUGUCGGUCAUUUCGAGCUUCACAUCAAUUUUCAAAAAGUUGGAAAACUUAUGUCUGCUUUUAUGAUUCUUUUAUGUGUGUGUUUAACGUGACUUCCUUGUGAGUUCCAUCUAGGUCCAACUUGAUGACAAUGAAAGUUCCUAUGGUGUAAAAAGUUUUAGUUAUGUGGAAAAUUGGUGGAAAACUUACGUCUUUUCACUUGCUUUUAUGAUUCUUUUUACAUGAUAUUACUAUAUAAUUAAAUUGAAAUACUGAUAAAUUUGAACCCAUAUGAUGUAAGUCUAGGCAUCAUCUAAUUUAUUGAUAUUUAAUUAAUUAAUAUAUAUACUUUCAAUUAUAAGAAUUGAAACAUAACUUUCAAGCCAAUUGGAGUAUGCCCCUGUUACACGUCAAAAGAAGUAGAUUUUGAACUCAACAUGAACCUGUGAGAUUUGAUGCCUAAAAUAUAGGUAUAAGGUUUCAAUUCAUGGAAAUGUUGGAAAUCUUGGAAAUUUCUUAGUCUCCUCUCUUUGGAUGUUUUUGAACAAAAAUGUUUUAAGUCUCUUCCGAUGCUAAACUUCUGAUUGGUCGUCGGUUCACUGACCCUUUGGUACACAGCAAUAUGAAGCAUUGGCCAUUCAAGGCCAUUGCUGGUCCUGGUGAUAAGCCAAUGAUUGUACUACUAUAGAUUUGAAUAUUUGUACACAUUUGAUCGGCUCUUCGUAAAUUUAAAUCUUACAAAUUCGGAUAAUAUUUGAACUUUGAAUGUAUGUUUUGUUGGUGAGAAUAUAAAGUUGAUAAAGAUUUGGUAAAUAGAGUAAAUUACUAUUUUUAUUAGAAAAAUUAUUUGGUACACUGCCAAUCGAGGUAAUUAAAACAUGUCAUAUUAUAAAUAAUAAAAUUAUGAUGACUCAAAUAUACGAACAUGUCAAAAUUUAUGUACAACAAAUUAUUAACAUGUAAAUGUAUAAUACGGUACGCAAAAAUAAGAUAAUUUCUUGUUUUUUUAAUUGAAUUGUUAUAACAUAUUAUACAAAAUACAUCGUGAAUUAAAGCAUAAUAUGAACAUGAUAUCAAAAUAUUAAUUUUUUUUAAAAUUCAAUGAUACGAAUAAUUAUGUAAAAUAUAACAUGAUACAAAAUAUCUUGAGAGGAAAAGAGGAAUAAAGAAUUGCAUUAUUUGUGAGGUUUUAAAAUAUUCCAGUUUUAGAUUCAAUUUUCUAGUAUGUUUGGUUUAAUUUUACAUUAGAUUUCCUUUUCAGUAUGCACUAGUGAACGCUUAGCAGUCAGUUUAAUUUAAUUGAAAGAGAUAUUGCAUAUACAUAAUAAUGGAUUAUGAUCUUACAUUAAAUUUCAUAGAAGAAAAAGAAAUAGAUGGUUGAAAAUGAUAAAACCAUAAGAUAAAAGAGCUUUUAUUCAAAAUGCAAAAAUCAACAAAAUAUUCAUUAUCACUCAACUUAGCAUAAUUAAACAUUUAGGUGAGGAAACAAAUCACAAUUUGAGUAGCUAAACACAUUGCUUGAAAAUGUGAUAAGUAAGAAAAUUGCCCACAUUUGAGUAGCGACAUGUGGUGAUGCAUUUCCCAACGAGAGAAAACUAAGCUCUUCACCAGUAUGGAUUUAUGUAGAGGACAACAAAAAUUGUCAACAACACAACUACAUAAGAAACCAAAAAGCUCACAAAAAAAUCAUAAGUACCUAUCAAACCAUCUUCUCCUUUAUCUUCUGAUACAGUUGAUAUCGUUGAUGGUGAAUCAGUUUUGGAACAACUUUUAUGCAAUAUAUCUCCACAAAGAAAAGGAUUUCCCUCAUAACUGUUUUCAAUAAAGGUCCCAAAUUGAGCUUUUGGUUUGGGAAUACUACCUGACAAGUUGUUGUAUGCCACGCUGAAAACCUCCAAAGAGUUCAACUCUACCAAUUGAUAGGGGAUUUCACCACUCAAGUUGUUGUAAGAAAGGUCCAAACUCUCAAUGUGCUGAAGUUUUGAGAAUGAUGAGGGUAUAACUCCGGUCAACUUAUUGUGUGACAAGUUUAAAGAAUGGAUUUCACUCAAGUUCCCUAAUUCUGGUGGGAUAUGACUAGUUAAGUUGUUGCAAGAUAAAUCAAUCCCAGUCAUAUAUGAAAGGAUGUCGCCAUUGUACGAAUAGAACCCACUCUUUGUUGUGAACUCUAUUACUUCUUCUAAGUAGCUUAGAGGAUAGUAAGAAUCCAUUUCCAGGUUUCCUAUCAUAAUGCGUGUUGAUUCAUCCUCUUCUAUAGAUGGCCCAUAGAACCCAGUUUCUAGAAUCCUCUUCAUUUGUAUUGGAAGAGAUAAAUUUCCCAAACAAGAAGGUAUAGGACCAGAAAACAUAUUUUGAGAAAGAUCUAUGAUGCUUAAAGAAUGCAACUUGCAUAACUCAAUAGGAACUUUACCAUGAAAAUGAUUAUCUUUCAGGAGAAGAACACUCAAAGAAGAAAGCGUGUAAAUCCAUUUUGGAAUACUACCUGUCAAAUUGUUUCCUCUAAGAUCUAAAGUCACUAUUGAAGAGUUAUUAUAAAAAGCAAGUGAUAGUGUGCCUCUCAGUCUAUUCCCGUGGAGGUGGACAUGCUCUAUGUUGGUGGAUUAAAACAUGACGGUAUAGAGCCAGAUAAAUUAUUUUGAGAAAGAUCCAAAAAUUCCAACCUAUUCAACUUUCAAAAUUCCAUUGGAAUAGAACCUUCAAAACCAUUGUUGGACAAAUUUAAUCUCCACAAAAAUGAUGCAUUCCCUAUCCAUCUUGGGAGCUUUCCAUGCAACUUGU
This 63831-nucleotide long non-coding RNA is filed under the name Gossypium raimondii (Peruvian cotton). RNAcentral describes it as "long non-coding RNA (GRAI_LNC003398)". Lineage: Eukaryota; Viridiplantae; Streptophyta; Magnoliopsida; Malvales; Malvaceae. The record is from RNAcentral.